AAGAAUCUCAGGGACUUCUUGGUAAAUCAAAUUGUUUAAGUAUUAGGAUUUCUGUGGUUGAUGUGAUGGCAAGACUGUAUCGGUUUAGAUAUCGCAGUUUGGUGAUGCAGAUGAGGUGUUUGUUCAUAGGUUACAAUGAAAAUUCAGAAGUGACUCGGCGCGGAAAGCAACUACCAGCUGAAAAUUAAGAAAAUGUACAAGGUUUGGAUGAGUAAGAGAAGUGCUCCAAAAAAGUAUUAGUUUUUUUAAGAUUGAUGUUUUUUGUUUUAUUUUCAUCUUAUGACCAUUUUUUUGAGUAAACACUGUUGUGGGCAAAAUUUCUUUCGUAGAUUAAAAAGUAUGAUGUGGAGACUGGAGCCUGAGACCCCACCCAAAAUUUUCUUAAGCCAGAAACGUUAAGUUAUUAUUUAUGUAUUUCAUAUGCUUCUAGCCAUAAUUUUAUUUUUUAACAAUUGAAUUUAGUCAUACAAAUUGACUGUGCUUAAUAUGAUAUAACUUCCUAUAAACUGUAAAUAUAAAUUUUAUUAAAAUUUUAAAAAUUUAUUUUUAUUAUCUACCCGCUGUAUCGCGCGGGUCUCUACACUAGUUAGAGAAUGACUUUUGUAUUAUUUAACAUGAUGUGUAUCAAAGUAAAGUCUCAAGCCCCGAAGAAAAGUAUUAAUAUCAGCAUAUAAAAAUAUUAAUUAUUUUCUAUCAGCUUAAUUUUUUAAAGAAUAACGACACUUUUCUUUAUGUAAGAAGACUAUAAUUCUAUUUCUUCGGAGGCUAAUCGGCGUCAAAAUGGUAUGAAGAAAGAUUGUGGCAAUGUGGGGUAGUCUCAUGCUCCAUCAAUCGACAGAAAAAAAAGAAAAAAAGAAGACUUAAGGCGUAUGCACGUCAAAGUGAAAAUCUUUGCACUAUGAUCUCCUUUUCUAGAAGGGCACAUCUCUAUCCAUGCUUGAGGCCGUUCUUUUUCAUUGUUUACGGAUUAAUCGUUGUUAAAGUAAUGUAAAAUAAAUUUUAUUCUUUAAAAAACUUAAGUUUUUAGAAAAUGGUGUAUUUAAUAUUUGUAUUCAACAAUAGUCAAGGAAAAGAUUAUAUUUGAUUUUUCUGUUGAGCUAUUUCGUAGUGUUAAACUGCCACGUAUCUAUACAAUAAUAUUAAAGAGUUAAAUCCUAGCGACACGGUAUUUUUUUCUUAUUUCAUGGUUGAGUGACACCUAAGCUCACUCCAAUUUUUCUUCUCUCUCUUAGCCCCUUCUUCCUCUCUUAAUUCGCUCCCUCACUUAUUCACUAUGGGUGUAUAAAUAGAACUGCUCUAUUCCAUUUAUAAAGGGUAAAGACUCUAUCGACUCUUUAUUAAUUUGAAAUUAAUACUUCAAUUUAACUUUUUGAUAACAAUGUAUGGAACCCCCUCAAUUAUGGACCAUUGAAAUUGGUUCCUCAAUUUUAACUUUUUUUAUUAAUAUCCUUUUGGCUUUUCUUAUUUUUCUAUUUUAGUUUUUUAACUUAGUUAGAUUGAAAAUUCUAUCAAAGUUAAUAACUCUACUAGUUAUUAAUUGUUAAUUGGCAAAUUUUCAUUUACUAAUUAAAAACGGAUUGAAAUUAUUAAAAAUUUGAUGAAAUUAUCAAUUAAUUUGAUAAAAUCUCUAAUUUUUUGACUAAAAUCAUUCCAUUCAAAAAUAUUAGAAGUGGUUUGAAUUUUAAAAUUUAACAAAGUGGCAGUUGUUUUGGUAUGAUUUUUUGCCUCAAGUAUUAUUAAGUGUAUAAGAUAUUUCAAUUUAAGCAAGUGUAGUUAUUAUUAACGCUUAAUAAUUACUGAUGUAUGCUUAAGACAAAUUUGUCUAUCCGUCGUGAAGUGCGAGCGCUUAACUAGUGUAGAGCGAAAGGAAUCCCAAAAAAGAGCAUUUGCAAACAUUUUUCCACUUUACUUUUGCAAAUAAGGGUGGUGUGUGCUAGCCUUUUGAAUCCUUGAUUCUAGGGUCCACUGGAAAAUUAUUUUUCAUUUCAUAACUAACUACAUGAUAUCUUUCUAUUCUUUGAUACCAACCACUUAAUGACAACUAAUUUUGCAUGAAUUUCUACAAUUCAUGCAAACCCAUUCGAAAACAAUCAGCACUGUUCACUAUUGAUGAAAAUUCUUAAAAUUUUAAAAAUUUGGGUUUGCAAGUGAUUUACAUUAUUGCAUAUUAAUUAUAGAUUGUGAGCAUAACUACUGCUUUAUCUUCCAAAAUAAUUAAUGCAACAAAACUGUGGUUGGAAUAUACAAAUUGAUGAUCUACUUCACCAAAUAGUCUUUUUUUUUUUUUUUUUUUUUUUGAGAGAGAUAGGUAGCACGCUGCUACCUGCUUCGUUUAUUUCAUUUAGAAAUAAACUUAGCUGAAUAUGUGAAUCAACUAGGAUUCGAACUUGCAUCUCGGGUACCAACCACCAAGCCCUUUGCCACUUGCGCUAGGGACGGUCGGUUACUUCACCAAAUAGUCAACAUUCACAUAUUGAUAAAUGUUGAUCUUUUAACAAAUCUCUACUACUGGAACAAUUUAUAGGUUCAGAUCACAUGGGUGAACCUAUAAGUGACCUUUUUGGUCCUCAAUGGGCCAUGAAAACUAUUGUUGUGGUAAUGGACCCGGUCUACAACUAUUAAGCUUUGGGCCUAUAGCCUCACCAAAGCUAGGCUUGAAGCCUAAUCCGGCCCAAUAGACUCGGUGUAGACCGGGCCAAGUGUUGGGCUUGGGCCUACUUUAGUGUUCGAGUAGAAAUCAUUGCAUGGACUCAGUUCACUAGGCGAUUCGUGGACCGUAGAGCUAUUUAUGCCCCGCGAGGAAAACUGUCAAAUGGUUCAUGAUGACGUGGUGGACCAUCUCCAGGCUCUUAUAAGCUACAGUAUUUCCGCUAGGGCAGGGUGAGAUUCACCUGCAAGCAAAUCUCUUCCGUUCAUUAUCAUUAAUGAACAGCAGAGAUUGAGCACUGGACAAUCAAACGGUGGAUAUCACGCGACCGCAUGCGAAACCAUCCGCACAAUAGUUCGAUCCCCAAUAUGCUUCGAUUAUACUGUUGCUCCCGCGACUGGGUUUUAUCGAUCCGCGACCGAGUUUGCGUCUUUGGGGUCUCUCCUGCUCAACCGAACGCCUCUCCUUCGUUGGUUUCUUCCUCCCCAAAUCGAAACCCUCGUUCGAAUUGCGCGAAUCCCGAAGAAUCCGCUCUUCUUCUCCUUCUUCUCCUUCUUCUCCCUCCAUGAUCGAGCACCAUUGACGAUAGGGCAAAGCUAAGCUAUCGCCAUCGUCGUCGUGUCGAACCCUAAUCGCGAACUCAUGGCGCAAUCGGAGAAGCUUUACCCCGUGAUCGAAGAUUGCGAUGUACGGGCGCCGGAGAAGGAUCCAUCCGAUCCCUUGGAUGCGGCGGAUCCUAGAGCUUCUUCUAUUCCCGAUGACGAAGGGGACGAGGUGACGUAUUACCUUUCUCUUGGCUCUAAUUCCGAUUCAUUUGCCUAAAUUUCUAGUUGAUUUCGUGGAAUUGGGGUUGUGAGUAGAUUUCCUUGGGUAGCUUUUGAUUCCCCUUGAUAUCUGUUGUUAAAUAGAAGCGAUGCUUAUGUCAAUUCUCAAAGCAUAAAAACUGUGUUCUGUUGAUUGUGCCCGUGCAAAUUCUCAAAGCGUAUAAAUUUAGUGUUUUGAUGUUUAAGAAAAUUCACAGAUUUGUGUAGUGAUCGAGUUGACUUAUAAGUUCGAUGACCCUUUUAUGUUUAUGAUUUCUAUUGGGAGCAUGUUAUGAUGCUACUCUGUUUAUAGAAUUCCCACAGAUGCGGCAAUUCUAACUGCUGAGCACUGGAAAAAAUUUAGUGAUUUGAAGUACAUAUUCAGUUCACAUGUUGUUCCCGAAAUUAGUGGUUUGUAUGGGAGUGGAUUGCAGAAACAAUAGCUCUGUACCGAAAUUAAGUGUCCUUUGCCCACUUUACUUUCUUUUCUCAUUGCUAAGCCAUUCUUUUCAUUUCCUACUUAAGCAUGAUAGGCAUGGAUGUAGUUAAAAUGAGAAAAUCACGGUAGUUUCUAUAACCUGAGUUUACUUAAGUUGUAGUUUUUUUGGGCAGUUGUUGAUUUGCUUCUACUGCAGGUAAAACAGUUUUAAUAUCUCUGACUAUGACCUUACUUUUCUAGGUUCCUAGAAUAACAGAGGAGAAAACCAACAACAUUCCUUUGAUAAAUGAUACAUCAUGUGAUUCAGAGACGGCCGAAGGCCAAGCUUCUAAUUCGAAGUCAGAUACAGCUCAUGAGAUUGUAAAGGGAAAGCCAGGGAAAUACUUCUACUACGACUCCCCACUUUAUGAAGAAACCGGCUUUUGGAUACCUGUCUCUGUCCCACCAAUGACUGAAAGGGAUCAUGAGGAGUGGCAUAGGGGCUUUGGUUCUAAUGGUGGAUACUUUCCUGAUGAGGAAAUCAGAUGGGACCAAUUUUUCGCUGAAGACAAGGAAAUGACAAUGUGGGACGUGGUUUCUGAAAUAAUUCUUACGGCAAGAGGCAAAGUAAGGGCUCUCACUUCUGGUGAUUUCGCAAAUUGUGGGAUAUCGUGGGUUUCCACCCAACUUCUUUCAGAAGCUUGGAAGGAAAUGGCCCAGACACUGUCAGAAGCCAAUUUCGGUAAUGCAAAGGAGAUCCUCGACACAGAGCCAACAAAGUGGUUGCCCGACAGUGUGUCAACUUCUUGCAUGCUUUGUAAUGUCCGCUUUCAUCCCAUAAUGUGCUCUAGGCAUCAUUGCCGGUUUUGUGGUGGGCUAUUUUGCAGCGAGUGUUCAAAAGGCCGGAGCUUGCUGCCUCCAAAAUUUAGAACUAACGAGCCUCAGCGGGUGUGUGAUGUAUGCUGUGUGCGACUAGAGGGGGUGCAGGCUUAUCUUAUGGAUCAGGUUAGUCGUGCAUCGCAACUGCCCACUCAUGAUCUGACUGACCUCAGCACCUUAAGAUCAUGGAUGAACUUCCCUUGGGGACGGACGAUGGAGUACGAGAUAUACAAAGCAGCAAACACAAUUCGUGGUUAUUGUAAGGUAAACCUUAUAUUCUUAUGUAAUGUCUUAGUUGAUUGAAUCAUGGACCGACCUUAUUCUGCAGAACAUCUUUUUACCACACUACUUGUUAGUUACCCUCAAAAUAUGAAGUAUUUGCGAGAAAAUGUUCUUACUUUGGCUUCUCAAUUUCAUAACAGUUUAUUUACUUGUGUCUUCUCAUGACCAAAAAAUGCUAGAUUUAGACGUCUCUAGUUCUUUGGGUCGAUGCAUUUCUAUGCAAUCUAUAACUUAGAGGUAAAAAUGGUAAUGAAGGUGGUGUCCUGGAAUGAGUUUAUUGUGCUACUAAUUUCUGUUGCGUUGGACGAUUGCCUAUUCCUUGGUAAGGAUUUGGAAUCUUGCUGAGGAUUGCUACCGUAGAGAUAGUCUUCGUGCCUCUUGAAUUUUCAAUUAUAUUCGUCAUUCAUAAUGGUUAUUUGUAAAAUUUCUUUACUGUCAAUGAAAAGAUUGGAUGACUAUGAUGAGGUUUUUGCCUGCUAUAAUUUCUACGGACAGUAGAGUGAUCUUAAAAGAAUUAAAAUUGAGUUUGUUAUAUUUAAUGGAACACAUGCUUAACAUUAUUCAGGUGGGCUUGUUGAAACCGGAGAAAUCCAUCCCUGAUUCCAUUCUCAAACAAGCGAAAGGCCUUGCAAUACUUACUGUUGUGAAGGUUGGGAUGAUGGUAACAUACAAAAUCGGGACUGGGCUGGUUGUUGCUCGUAGGGAGGACGGUUCCUGGUCUGCACCCUCUGCCAUUUCUACUUUUGGCCUUGGAUGGGGAGCUCAGGUUAACUACAUUCACCGAAUUGUAUUUUCAUGAAUAUAGGGUAGUAAUAUAUGACAUAUUUGUGCUAAUUGUUUUACUAGGCUGGAGGGGAGUUGACCGACUUCAUAAUUGUGCUGAGGAACAAAGAUGCCAUCAAAACCUUCAGUGGAGAUGCACAUUUGUCGUUUGGGGCUGGUGUUAGUGCUGCUGCUGGUAUUGUUGGACGAACAGCUGAGGCUGAUCUCCGUGCAGGUGACGGUGGUUAUGCCGCAUGCUACACUUACAGUUGCAGCAAAGGUGUGCUUUGAUUUACUACUCCUAUAACGUAUGCGAUCAGAUGUUCAUCAUAGAGACUUUUGGGGAAAAUCAUAAUUUGUUCGUUUCUCUUAUGCUGAUAUCUGGCCGGGCUGCAACUUCCAUUAAAAUUAUUUCAAUCGAAAUCACAUAAGAGAUAUAUAUGGUCAACUAAAAAUUUUAACUGUAGUAUUUAAUAAGGGAAGUAUUUGGCUACCAGAUGAGUUACUUCAGAAUCAGGGGAUGCGGGCGCGUGUGAUUUUGCUACCUUUUCUUUUUAGGUUAAACAUAUCCUAAACAAAGAGAAUAUUCAGUUAUUCAAUAGCGUUUUAUGUUUGGCUUGGGUAGGAAGUGGUGUGCUGGAAAAAGAAGAUACAAAAGAAAAGAUUAUAGAAUUUGUAUUCCUGCUUCUCAUUUAUUUUCCUCUCUCUCUCUCUCUCUCUCUCUCUCUCUCUCUCUCUCAUCUAGCUGCUUUUGAUUGCAGGUGCAUUUGUAGGUUGUGCUCUUAAUGGAAGCGUAGUUACAACCCGGUCUUCAGAAAAUUCCCGCUUCUAUGGUGCUCCAAUGAAGGCAUUGGACAUUCUUCUCGGCUCUACACCGAAGCCUCCUGCAGCCACUAUUCUCUAUCGCGCCCUAUCAGACCUGUUCGAAAAGCUGGAGAAGUAAUCAUCCUUGAUUUAGAAUUCGUCGCCGUGCGUGUGUCAUAGUCUUCGAACCGGCAUGAUUUGUUUCGGAUCGAGCUGUUUAUCUUUGGCUUGAUUACCGCUUAUAAUUAAGCAAUUGUACGGCUCUAAAGACUGCUAUUAAAAGGUCAUUCAUUGGUGCAUAUACAGGUUUAUGAACAUGAUUCUUCUGGAUCUAGUGUACAUAAAAUAAUGAUAAAACUCUCUGUAAAUAAUAGGGCAAAUAUGUUCUAUUCAGUUAUUCUUAAUUUAGUGGUGCAUUUAUUAUCACUUCGGAGUUCUCUGAGCCUGUGUAUAAUUCUUGUGAGAUGCACUCUUUUACUAAUUGAUGAUGAUGAUGAUGAUGAUAAUGAUGAUGAGUAAGAUAAUUUGUCACAUAUAUUAGUAAUACAUAUUUCGUGGCACUUACACGGGAUACAGGAAACACUACUCUCACAUAUGAAAGUAUAAAUAUCAAUUGUACAUAAGUAUAAAUAAAAGUUACGUGACCAUAACAUUCCCAUACCCAACUUUGACCUUGCGAGACAUUAAUUCGUCCUGAUUAGGUGGGGGCUCGUGGAUUUCGUGUUGGACCGGAUCUUGGACUCUGCUCAUGUUCUAUUAAAAGACUAUUUCUAAGAAUAACAAAAUGCACACACAUUGUGCGGAAAAAGAGUUUGGCAAGUUGAGCGCAGAAAACUUAUCUCUUCUCUUCAUCUCCACGCAGCUCACGUUACUUCCCUGGGAAUUUAGGGCCCGUUUGGUUCGAGUUAUGUAAUAUUACAAAGUAUCUCGACAUAUCCAGGUAUGUUGGAUUUCGGCGUGAGAUUACUACUAAUGCUGUAUUAGAGCGUUUGGUUUAAUACAGUAAUGUAAUACUAGAUUACAGUGUUUAUAGCAUUAAUAUAUUUGGUUCAGUUUAUAAGAUUUAGUAAUCAUAACAUAAAAGUAUAGUUUUUUCCAAAAUUGUCCAUUUGUAGUCAUUUGAAUAUUGUUUUUUGCGGAAAUGACGAAUGGAGGGAAGGAGAUCGUGAUAAUUACUUGGGAGGACGACGCAAUAGAAGAUGAUAGGUGUUCGUGCGAGAGAGAGAGAGAGAGAGAGACGUCGAGAGAGAGCGAGAGAAAGCGGCGUGCGAGAGAGAGGGCCGGGACGAAGGCGAGAGAGAGAUGAAAAUAAUACUGUUAAUUAGAUUUGGAAUUUUUGGAGGGUAAAAUUGUCAUUUUACAUAAUAUGUAGUAUUAACGGGUUUCAGUAAUGCAAGAUACACGACCCCCCUCCCGUUAAUAUUUUUGAUGUAAUCCUGCUCGAUUUGUAAUGCUAUAUUAACGACUAGAUUACAUAGUGGAUUAACCAAACACAGUUAUCCUGGCAGGAUUGCCUGUAAUCCUGUCAGGAUAACUCGAACCAAACGCACCCUUAAGGCUAAAGGAUAUAACAAAAUAAUAAUAUAUAAUAUUAUAUUCUUUUUUCCUAUUAAAAAAAAAUAAAGCAUGCAGGGAAAGUGUACAAGAAAUUCCGCAGCACCUUUGAUCUGGAUGAUUCAUUCAUUCCUAGCACCAAAAGACAGAGAGAUUGGCUUUACUUCGCUCUCUCAGCUGGUGUGAACUAAGCUUUGCUCAUGAAGAGAAAUUAUUGGCUGGACCGUGUCCGUCACCUCCGCUCGUGGACCGCCAAUGUCAUCUAUCAUAUAUCCUUCUCUUUAGAUGAAAGGCAGAUGGUUGGGCGGUCCACAGCUGACGUGGUGAUCUGUGACCAUGCUGGAAUUUCUUUCUGCGGUGUGAAACAGUGAGAGAGGCUGAGAGGGUGAGCAAAAAUUCAAGAGCCGUGUGGAAGGAAGGGAUAUUUUGUGUUGACGUUCAGGGCACACAUUAUGCUGUUGACAAAAGAGAAGCAUGUUUCACCUUCUUUAAUGCUGCGGUGAACUUCUCAGUUCAGAAUUCAGAUCCUAUCACUCUUUGGUUCUGACACUAAUAAUAACAGUACUGUUUCUAUAUUUAUUAUUUUUCGGUAUUAUUCAUAUUUUUAUUCAACGGUUCAGAUUUAAUUUUUUAAAAAUUUAAUAUGUAAUAACAUGUCAUUUUGAGAAAGGUACGAGUUACUAGAUACCCCAAAAAAAAGUAUUUGGUUCUUUUAUCAAACUCUAUUCUCUCUUUGUUUCAUUUUUCUCUCUCGGUCUUUCCUCUUCAUCCAUAAUAAAGAUGUAAAGGGGUAGGAUUCGGGGCGAAUUUCAAAAACCCGAACCCGAAUCCAAAUCCAACGAAUUUUAAAAAAUCAUAUCCAUACCCGUACCUAACUAAAAAUGCGAAACCCGAAUCCUAGCCCGAACCUAAAAUAUUUAUUUCUCUUUACAAUAUUUUAAAAUAUAUUAAAUUAAAUCUAAAGUUUAAAAAUACAUAUUCAAAUAUAACAUCAAAUAUUUAUAUAUAUAUUAUAUAUAACGUAAAAUAAAUUCGGAUUCCGGUUGGUUUCAAAUUCUGAUCAGAUACAAUCAAAAUACAUAUCCAAAUUCAAAUCCGUCUGGUUUUCGUUUCUGACAUUCAUAUUCAAAACUAUAUCCGUUUAGUACAGAUAAAUCGACUGCGUUUGCUUUUGAAUUUGAAUUUAGAUUCAAAUAAAAUUAUAGAUGUCCGUACCCAUUGACAUUCGUAAUCCACAGAUAUUUUAUCAUUUCAUAUCCGUAAUCUACAGAUAUUUUAUUAAAAAAUAUUACAACAUUGAAUUUAAAUUUUUUUUACCUAUAUUUAAAUUUUUAAAAAAAUUUGUGGUAAAAAAUUAAUAUAUAAAUUAGAAAAAUUUAGAAGUUUCUUAAACAAAUUAAAUAUAUUGAAUUCGUUAUUAUCAACAUUAAAUUUGUUAAAAUAGUAACACAAAAUUUCUCUUAUUUAAAUUUAAAUAUUAAAUAUUUAAAUUCAACAUAUUUAGAAAUAUUACUAUUUUUACGAUUCCUAAAAUUUAAAUUAAUGCCUAAAUUAGAAGAAUUCUAAAAUUUCUAAAAUUAAUGCCUAAAAUUUGGGAUAUCAAUUAAAUUUUAAACUAAUGGUUAAAUUCGUGCAAAAUUAAUGCUAAAUUUGGGAUAUUAAUCAAAACUUUCUUAAAACUUUGCCUAGUAUAAUUACAAAAAUACCCUCAUAUGAAAUAACCUUUUAACCUGCUACAUAAUUAUAUAACAUUUUUAACCUUCAUUAAUCAACGGUUAAGAUUUUUUUUUAUAUAAAAUAAAGUACCAAAUCAUUUCUCUAAUAAUAAAACACAACUAGUGGUCCAAAUUUUGUAGAAGUCUACAAGUUAAACCCGCCUAUUUGAUAAAGUUGUAAGNGAGAGAGAGAGAGACGUCGAGAGAGAGCGAGAGAAAGCGGCGUGCGAGAGAGAGGGCCGGGACGAAGGCGAGAGAGAGAUGAAAAUAAUACUGUUAAUUAGAUUUGGAAUUUUUGGAGGGUAAAAUUGUCAUUUUACAUAAUAUGUAGUAUUAACGGGUUUCAGUAAUGCAAGAUACACGACCCCCCUCCCGUUAAUAUUUUUGAUGUAAUCCUGCUCGAUUUGUAAUGCUAUAUUAACGACUAGAUUACAUAGUGGAUUAACCAAACACAGUUAUCCUGGCAGGAUUGCCUGUAAUCCUGUCAGGAUAACUCGAACCAAACGCACCCUUAAGGCUAAAGGAUAUAACAAAAUAAUAAUAUAUAAUAUUAUAUUCUUUUUUCCUAUUAAAAAAAAAUAAAGCAUGCAGGGAAAGUGUACAAGAAAUUCCGCAGCACCUUUGAUCUGGAUGAUUCAUUCAUUCCUAGCACCAAAAGAAACAGAGAUUGGCUUUACUUCGCUCUCUCAGCUGGUGUGGACUAAGCUUUGCUCAUGAAGAGAAAUUAUUGGCUGGACCGUGUCCGUCACCUCCGCUCGUGGACCGCCAAUGUCAUCUAUCAUAUAUCCUUCUCUUUAGAUGAAAGGCAGAUGGUUGGGCGGUCCACAGCUGACGUGGUGAUCUGUGACCAUGCAGGAAUUUCUUGCUGCCGUGUGAAACAGUGAGAGAGGUUGAGAGGGUGAGCAAAAAUUCAAGAGCCGUGUGCAAGGAAGGGAUAUUUUGUGUUGACGUUCAGGGCACACAUUAUGCUGUUGACAAAAGAGAAGCAUGUUUCACCUUCUUUAAUGCUGCGGUGAACUUCUCAGUUCACAUCCUAUCACUCUUUGGUUCUGACACUAAUAAUAACAGUACUGUUUCUGUAUUUAUCAUUUUUCUGUAUUAUUCAUAUUUUUAUUCAACAGUUGAGAUUUACUUUUUUUUUUUUUUAAUUAUGACCUGUAAUAACAUGUCAUUUUGAGAAAGAUACGAGUUACUAGAUACCCCAAAAAAAAGUAUUUGGUUCUUUUAUCAAACUCUAUUCUCUCUUUGUUUCAUUUUUCUCUCUCGGUGUUUCCUCUUCAUCCACAAUAAAGAUGUAAAAGGGUAGGAUUCGGGGCGGAUUUCAAAAACCCGAACCCGAAUCCAAAUCUAACGAAUUUUAAAAAGUCAUAUCCAUACCCGUACCUAACUAAAAAUGCGAAACCCGAAUCCUAGCCCGAACCUAAAAUAUUUAUUUUCUCUUUACAAUAUUUUAAAAUAUAUUAAAUUAAAUCUAAAAUUUUAAAAUACAUAUUCAAAUAUCAAAAUCCAUAUCCGAAUUCAAAUCCAUUAGGUUUUCAUUUCUGACAUUCAUGUCCAAAACUAUAUCUGUUUAGUAUAAAUAAAUCGAUUGCGUUUGCUUUUGAAUUUGGAUUCAAAUUCAGAUAAAAUUAUAGGUGUCUGUACCCAUUGACAUCCGUAAUCCAUAUAUAUUUUAUCAUUUCAUAUUCAUAAUCUACAGAUAUUUUAUUAAAAAAUAUUACAACAUUGAAUUUAAAUUUUUUUUUACUUAUAUUUAUUUUUUUUUUUAAUUUCUGAUAAAAAAUUAAUAUCUAAACUAGAGAAAUUUAAAAGUUUCUUACACAAAUUAAAUAUGUUGAAUUUGUUAUUAUCAACAUUAAAUUUGUUAAAAUAGUAACACAAAAUUUUCUUAUUUAAAUAUUUACAUUUAAAUAUUAAAUAUUUAAAUUCAACAUAUUUAGAAAUAUUACUAUUUUUACGAUUCCUAAAAUUUAAAUUAAUGCCUAAAUUAGAAGAAUUCUAAAAUUUCUAAAAUUAAUGCCUAAAAUUUGGGAUAUCAAUUAAAUUUUAAAUUAAUGGUUAAAUUAGUGCAAAAUUAAUGCUAAAUUUGGGAUAUUAAUCAAAACUUUCUUAAAACUUUGCCCAGUAAUAAUUACAAAAAUACCCUAACAUGAAAUAACCUUUUAACCUGCUACAUAAUUAUAUAACAUUUUUAACCUUCAUUAAUCAACGGUUAAGAUUUUUUUUUAUAUAAAAUAAAGUACCAAAUCAUUUCUCUAAUAAUAAAACACAACUAGUGGUCCAAAUUUUGUAGAAGUCUACAAGUUAAACCCGCCUAUUUGAUAAAGUUGUAAGAUAUAGUAUUGUACGACAAAAUAUUAUUUGUAAGAGUUAUUAGGAAAGGCACCUUCCUUCAGUAUAGAGUUUUCAUUUUUGAAUCUCAAAAUUCGCUUUCUGCUUUUCGCUGCUGCAAAAGUUUGAAACAUUUUUAAUUACCAAGUGCUCUGUUAUAAAUAACUAUAGCUAAAAGCAAAAACAAAAAGCAAGUGAAAAAAUGUCUGUCUUUUUCAAUGCAAAAGUAGUUUUCCCACUUAAAAAAUAUUUCCCCCCAGCUAAUUCAAGCCAAUCAGAAAAACAACAAAUUAACAUUUACUACAAAUUACUGACCGUCUCUAGCGCAAGUGGCAAAAGACUUAGUGAUUGGUAUCUGAGGUCCCAAGUUCGAAUCCUAGUUGAUUCACAUUUCUAGCUAAGUUUAUUUCUAAAUAAAAUAAACGAAACCGGUAGCAUGCUACCUAUCUCUCUCUCAGAAAAAAUAAAAAUAAAAAAAUAAAAAAAAAACAUUUACUACAAAUUUGGCUUUGUGCAGCACAAUCCAGCAUGAGAUCCAAUGUCCACAGCUUGCAAAAUCCUAGUAUAUAUUGCUUCUUAUUUUAUGAAAAAAAAAUACCCUCACAAGCCUAUGAUCACAUUUCAUCAUAAAUAGAAACGCAUUGCAGUAGCACCCCUCCAGAUACUUUGUGAGCCCAAUUAUUGCACAACAUAUAUAGACUUAACUAAUGAUUUGUAUCUUCUUCUUAUUGCUGAUUAUAUAACUAAGAGCAUUUGCUAAAAGCCCAAAAACACUACAGUAACCAAUAAAAGAAAAAGGAAUAGAAUCAAUGUACAACCCUGCACCUCUUUUCGUUUACUCUGCAUCAUCUUGACAAUGUUUACAUUUUGUCACGAACCUCACAAUAAAGAAUAAAACAAGAAAUCAAAAGGGAGAGAGAAAUUCCAAGCUUAGAAGACCAAAAUUUGAGGGGAAAAAAGAUCUAAGAAUAAAUACACAUAAUCAGUAUCUACCAAUUCUAGUGAACACCUACAACAUGCUGGUCUAUUCCAACAACAAACAAUUCACGGCCGCGACGAAGACGACUGAAGUGUUUUAGUAGUCGGCACGCCGUGGCCUUUGUCGCUCGGGCCGGACGGGGGGAUAUGCCUGUUCGCGAGUGCGACAUGCAAUGGACUGAGCUUCACAUGAUCUACGAGUUGCGAACUCUUUUGCACCGUAAUAACCGUUACCGACGGCGGGUCGGGCCGAGCCGAGGCAAUUGAAAUGGCUAAGAGAAAGAAGAGAACUAAGUAGAGCUUCGAGGAGAAGCAUCUGGGAGAGAGAAAGAAGGUGAUCAUGUUGAUGGUUAUGCUCAAAGAAGUGGUGUGGGGGGGGGUGUAAUGAGGGGAAAUUAAAUAAUGGGGCAAUUUAUAAAAGUCGUUAGGCCAAAGUUUACUUCACGAGAUCAAUGAGAAUACUUAAGUUUCCGGUCCUAGCACGUUAUAAAAUAGGUUAAGUAGCUAACACUUUCAUGGUUCUAACUCGGGUCCCACCCGGGUCUAUUCCUUGGCUUCUUUUUUUUUUUGUAUUGUUGACAUUUUGCACCUACACUUGGUGCAAUGUCCAAAUUGAACAAAGUUGUUGGGGUCUAUUUCAUUGGCUAAAAAAUUACAUUAUUCACAUAUAUUCCUACUUCUUCCAAAAUAAUAAUAAUAAUAAUAAUAAUAAUAAUAAUAAUAAUAAUAAUCUAAGUGUUCAGAACAAGAUGCACAAAAAUUGCUUUUCUUGUUCUCUCCUAAAUAGAAAGGUUGUUAAAGAGCAUAAUCAAUCCAAAAACUUAAACUAAUAAAUUAAGAUGUCCUUAUGAAAUGCAUAUAUAAGUCAGUAUUCUAGUUUCUAGUGAUUAUAAAACUAUUAUUUUUAAUGAAGGUAGUUUAUUACUAAAGUGACCGGUGUGAUUUGAUGUUUUCGGUUGUAUUAAGUAUAUUCACAACAAAAAAAAAAAGAAAUAUAAAAUUAACAUAAAAAUUUGGUGCUCAAAACCAGUUGAUCUUUUCCUCUCAAAAUAGAUACCUGAAUCAAAUUUUUACUUUUACCUUAAGUAAAAGAUAUGGUGAUAUACUGUUAGAAAAUUUGUUAUAGCCUUUUUUUGAAUUUAAGGAUGAGGAGAAAGAUUACAAUAAGGUAAAAGAUAUGGUGAUAUUUUGUUAGAAAAUUUGUUAUAGUCAUUCUUUGAAUUUAAGGAUGAGGAGAAAAAUUACAAACAAGCAUUAUCUAACUUAGAAAUAAAGUAUUUAGAGUUUUUCGUUUUCAAGUAAAGAAUCUAAAGCCAACUAAUAAGUCUAAAGGGUGCUUAAAUUUAUGGUACUAUUGAGUCUCCUUCCCCUUUCGCCCUCACUAAAAAGAUUUUUUUUUUUUUAAAGAAAGAAAAAGUAAAGAGAUAAAAGAAAAAGAAUAUAAGGACAUGUAUGGACCUCGCUUUGUAGAGCAUGAUGUAAACAAUAAACACACACAACCCCCCCUUCUCUCUCUCUCUCUCUCUCUCUAAAUGCCUCUCUUUUUCUUUUUUUUUUCCUAUGUACUUCCUCCACUUGUAGUUUUUAAAAUUUAAAAAUUUUAUUGAAUAAAAUUAGAAAUUUCUUAAAUUUAUCAAUAGUACGUUUUGUUCUUCUUAAUAAGUUUUAAUCACUACUUACUAAAUAAAAAUAUAACAAUUAAUGGGUAAUAGCUUAUGUAGCCGUUCGAUUUAAUUUUACGAAUUUUUAAUUUAACAAAUUAAGAAAACUCAAUAAGAAAAAAAAGAAAUUAAAAGUCAAGCCUGGGACCAAUAAAAUAAUAAAUAAUUCCCAAUAGAUAGGGAUCUCCUUACAGGUAAGAAUUUAUUAGCUAACUAGUUUUUGACCCGUAGAUCAACGGAUAAUAUAAUAAUAUAAAAUAACAAAAGUUAUUAUGUGAUGAUAAAAAAUAUUUCUAAUUAAUAUUAUAUUUUUUUAACACAAUAAAGAAAUAUACUAUCAAUCUUAAUAAUAUAAUAACAUAUUAAAGUACAAAAAAUAGAGAAAAAAAAUAUAUAGACCAAAAUAAAUACUUAAGUAAAAAGUAAAAUUCAACCCUACUUUUUAUCUAUGAAUUGGUAUGCAAAACAAUUCACAUUUGCAUAUUGAUGUGCAAAAUAAAAUGAUAACUAAAAUUGAUAUGAAAAAUUACAAAUAAUAUUAAUAUUUAAGAACUAAUUCUAGGCUAUUCAUCACUCUGGAUGAUGAAAUUCAGGCAUAGUAUACAGACAAAUCACUUUGACUUGACUUCCAUUUGUCUCCAGAAGAUGUGUCACGUAUAGAAUCAUACCGAAGUGCAUAUCCUGAGAACAAUAAGACAUCCAAGAAAAAAAAUUAAUAUUUGCUUCGUAUUUAAAAUAAAAUAAAAAUAAUAUGUUCUAUUUUAAAGAUCGACAUCUAAGAACUAAGAAAAUUCCAGGAGAUAGUAGGGAAAAAAAUUACGAAGUAAAAAUUACAGAAUGAGUGAUAGUAUGGAAGUGACAUGCAAUAUCUAUAUAUAUAUAAUAUAUAUAUAAAAGCGGUGAGUUUGAAUUUUUUCCUCUUUCAAAAAUGCCUCUAUCCUUUUUUACUAAUAUUUUUAAUCAAUAAUUUUCAAACAAUCAUUUCAAAUAAUUAACUAAGUAAUAAAUUUAUUCUCAAAUAAAAUAUUAAUUUUUUGUCAUUAGAUCUUAUCUAAUGAUUGAAAUAAAAGCAUCUGUUACUUUUUGUACAAUAAAUACUUUAGUAUUUAUAUCAUAUUUUCUAUCUAGGCGUUUUUCAAUAUUUUUCUUCUCACGCGUAAUAUCCGCACCCGCCAAUUCUUUCGCAACGUAAUAUUUUGUGAAUUUAUCAAAUUAUCUCAUUAAUCCACCUACCAUACAUCCACACCUGCAACUGUAAUAUCGUGAAUUUCUCAAAUAUCUCUAUAAUCACAUACCAUAACACAUCCACCACCUACAUAAUAUCAGUUAACCUUUCUCAUACGUAAUAUGACCUAUCAUAAUUUUGAAUUAAACAUAUCAUCGUAUUUGAAUUUAAAUAUUAAAAUGAUUCAAAAUUAAAUUUUAAAUCAAAUAUGAAUUUUAUUGCGAAAAUAUCUUUAUCUUUUUAACUAAUUUUUUCAUGUCCAAAAAUUUUGAACCAUUCAUCUCAAAUAAUCCAUUAAAUUUUGACGCAUUUGAAUUUAAAUCUUAAAAUAUAUCGAAAUUAAAUUUUGAAUUUUGAAUUAGUAUUUACGGUUUAAGAUUUAGAUAAUUGUUUAAUUGGUAUAAUUUGACGUAAUUUGAACUUAUUUGAAUUAAUUUUAUUUAAUUUGGUUUAAAUAUAAUAAUUAACUAAGUAAUAAUUUAUUCUAAAAUAAAGAUAUUAAUUUUUUGCCAUUAGAUCUUAUCUAAUGAUUAAAAAUAAAAGUAUCUGUCACUUUUUGUGACAAUAAUACCUUCGCAUUUAUAUCAUAUUUUCUAUCUACGCGUUUCUCAAAUAUUUUCCUUCUCACACGUAAUAUCCGCACCCGCCAAUUCUUUCGCAACGUAAUAUCCGUGAAUUUUUCAAAUAUCUCAUUAAUCCACCUACCAUACACAUUCACCGCCUAUAUAAUAUCUAGUUAACCUUUCUCAUACGUAAUAUGACCUAUCAUAAUUUUGAAUUAAACAUAUCAUCGUAUUUGAAUUUAAAUAUUAAAAGGCUAAAUUACAGAAAACUCCCCUGUCAAAACUCGAUUUUUCACUUUCCCCCCUGUCAUUUAAAAACCUACACUUUAACCCCUUGUAAAAUAAAAAAUGUGCACUUUACCCCCUACCAUUAGAGUUCCGUUAUAACAUUUUUUUAUGCCAAAAAUACCCCUCCGCUCCUAUUCCCUGUUGCUUCGAUGGCUUCCGGGACGGCGCCCUCGCCGGCCUCACCCUCAUCCACGAGCUCAACCUCCUCUUCGACCGCCCCCUCGACGCCAUCUUCCUCAACUCCAACCGCCUCAGCCGCCGCCGCCCCAUCCCUGCCAACCUCGGCGACUCCCCAGCCUCCAUCGUCUUCCGCGCCCACAACAAACUCGGCGGCUGCAUCCCGCCCUCCAUCGGCCGCAUGGCCGACACUCUCAACGAGAUCGUCCUUCUCGACGACGGCCUCGCCACCUGCGUCCCGCCCGAGGUCGGCCUCCUCCGCCGCGGAUGAGGAGGAUGAGGGAGAAGACGAAAAUGGCGAAGGGCAAAAUGGUUAUUUUGUCACAUCGUACCCCCCUGUGAACAUUUUGUAUUUUACAAUGGGGCAAAGUGUAGGUUUUUAAAUGACAUGGGGGAAAGUGAAAAAGCGGGUUUUAACAGGGGGGUUUUUCAUAAUUUAGCCAUAUUAAAAUGUUUCAAAAUUUAAUUUUAAAUCAAAUAUGAAUUUUAUUGUGAAAAUAUCUUUAUCUUUUUAACUAAUUUUUUCAUGUCCAAAAAUUUUGAAUCAUUCAUCUCAAAUAAUAUAUUAAAUUUUAACGCAUUUGAAUUUAAAUUUUAAAAUAUAUCAAAAUUAAAUUUUGAAUUUUGAAUUAGUAUUUACAGUUUAAGAUUUAGAUAAUUGUUUAAUUGGUAUAAUUUGACUUAAUUUGAACUUAUUUGAAUUAAUUUUAUUUAAUUUGGUUUAAAUAUAAUAAUUAACUAAGUAAUAAUUUAUUCUAAAAUAAAGAUAUUAAUUUUUUGCCAUUAGAUCUUAUCUAAUGAUUGAAAAUAAAAGUAUCUGUCACUUUUUGUGACAAUAAUACCCUCGCAUUUAUAUCAUAUUUUCUAUCUACGCGUUUCUCAAAUAUUUUCCUUCUCACGCGUAAUAUCCGCACCUGCCAAUUCUUUCGCAACGUAAUAUCCGUGAAUUUUUCAAAUAUCUCAUUAAUCCACCUACCAUACACAUCCACCGCCUAUAUAAUAUCCAGUUAACAUUUCUCAUACGUAAUAUGACCUAUCAUAAUUUUGAAUUAAACAUAUCAUCGUAUUUGAAUUUAAAUAUUAAAAUAUUUCAAAAUUAAAUUUUAAAUCAAAUAUGAAUUUUAUUGCGAAAAUAUCUUUAUCUUUUUAACUAAUUUCUCAUAAGUAAUAUGACCUAUCAUAAUUUUGAAUUAAACAUAUCAUCGUAUUUGAAUUUAAAUAUUAGUGUAAUAUAUGCACCCGCCAAUUCUUUCGCAACGUAAUAUCCGUGAAUUUUUCAAAUAUCUCAAUAAUCCACCUACCAUACACAUCCAUCACCUACAUAAUAUAUCAUCGUAUUUGAAUUUAAAUAUUAAAGUGAUUCAAAAUUAAAUUUUAAAUCAAAUAUGAAUUUUAUUGCGAAAAGAUCUUUAUCUUUUUAACUAAUUUUUUCAUGUCCAAAAAUUUUGAACCAUUCAUCUCAAAUAAUCCAUUAAAUUUUGAUACAUUUGAAUUUAAAUCUUAAAAUAGAUAAAAAUUAAAAUUUGAAUUUUGAAUUUGAUUUAACUUGAUUUUUAAUAAUAUAGUAAAUAAAAUAGAGUUUUACACGUGGCAAGCAUAUAGAAAGUUACGUGUCAGAUUCUCACAAAAGUUUCAUAAAGGGUUCUACUUUAGUAUAUAGUAAUAGAUAUCUAAGAUUUUAUUUGAGAUUGCAAAAACAAAUUGUAAUACAUACAAUAAAAAAGAGUAUCUAAUAUAUUUUAUACAUCAUAAUGAGUUAUAUUUCUUUACAGUUUUACCAGAAAACAAUAAGUACACUUUUUUUUACUUUUGCUCCAAUUUACUAAUAUUAGAUGCAUGUAUUUUUUGAGUUAAAAAUAGCACGCUAGCUCUUCAUUUAAUGGGAGGAUGAACAAAGCUAUAGUGGUGAGGCAAUGGAAGGUCUCAAGUAAGAAGGGCUAAAAAAAUAAAAAUAAAAAUCACAUCGUUCAGUGAGAGAAUGGUUGCUAAAGUGAGAGGAUUUGUCCCCUCAGGUAUAUUAACUGCUUAACUUUGGAGACUGCUAGUAGGGGGUUCGGCUGAGCCUUCUUAAAGAUCGCACCGUUCCUGACCUCCCAAGUGACAUACCAGCAUGCUAAGUCGAGUUAGUCCCUUACACUGUGUCUGUAGUCUUUUUUUAAUCUUCCACCUAUUCCGGACCUGGUUCACAUAGUUUCCCAAAUCCAUAGAUUGUACACUUACUAAGGUCAUCACCAUUAGGAAUCUAGUAAAGACGCAUUGUGCGAAUAAAUGGCCCACUGAUUCCUCUUCAAUCCCACACAGCACAUAGGCUGUGUUUUCGGUCCACCCUUUCUUCUUCAAGUUAUCUACUGUCAAAAGCCUCAUCUUGAGAACGAGCCAACAAAAUAUUUUUACUUUUAACGAUAUUCGAAGGUUCCAUAUUUUGUUUGCUCGGCUCCCUCGUACCUCUAUCACUCAGCGCUGAGUAGGUUAAUUCCACCAUAAAUCAACCAUCAGAGCUCCAUCGCCACAAUACUCUGUCCGAUUUUUGUCGUACUGUAAAUUCGGAUAUCCUAUGCCUAAGCGCUGAAGAGCUAGGCCAAGAUCCGUAUCCAAUUAUGUUGUCAUAUCUUAAAAUCUUGGUCCAUUUCCGCCUUUCACUCGUCAAACAAUCACCGACUCUUAUAUUUUUGCGUGUUGCCAUAUCGUACAAAUUUGAAAAUACUGACUAAAGUUAGACUUCCCCGCACCAACAAUCCGACUAAAAAUCGAUAGUACUCCCGUUUCCUGGCUCGUAUGAUACUCCCUAUUGGAAAAUUUCAUUAAGACUUGAAAUUUUCUUCCACCAACAGGAGAAAAGUAUAAAUUAAAUAUCUUCCAUCCUCCAGAAGUCUUCUUCUAAAGUGAUAUAAGUCAUAAAUAAUAUUAGAGGAGUGUUAAUAUCAAAAAUAAACUCUAAAUAAAUAUGGUUAGAGAGAAGAUAUGGUGGAAUAUUUGACUCUAAUGCCCUGUGGACCUUUUUUUUUAAUUUUUAUUUCAAUUUUAAUUUUAAUUUUUUUUGUUUAAGCCUUUCGAGCACAGCAAAAAAAAACCAUACACAAAAAGUCAAUGGAAAACGCACGCCAAAGGGGCGAUGGCAAAUUUCCACAAUGCGUACGGCCUCUACACGUGGACUGGGCCCCACGUGGCAGCUGCACAUCUUCGUGUAUGUAACCGUUACACCGAAGAACUUCCACCAUGUGGUCAGAGGAAGUUGCUGGGAGCUGGGAUUCUCUUCACAUACCGGUGUCCAAUAAAAAAAAUUGUGUAUAAAUCACUAAUAUUCAACCCACAUUUGGUAACGCAGGAUUAUGUAAAUUUUUUAUGAAAAAAUGGUUCUUAAAAAAUACAUAAGCAUGUACCAUUUUUUUAAUUUUAAAAAAAGCCUAAAAUAUCGGAGACAAAUAUUAAGAAUAUGUUUAGCUCUUUUUUUUAGAUUAUGGAAUCAGAAUGAGAUUGAUUAAUUUUAAGAAAUUAGUAGUUAUUGCUUGUUUUAAAGGAAUAAUUUUCCAACUUUCAUUUCACUCCGGAUUGAAAAUGGUGAAAUUCAUUUAGAAUAUUGGAUUGGCCCAUUCCAAAAUUAAUUAUUUAGAUUUUUUUUUUUUUUCACCAACAUCUUCCCUCCUCUUCUUUCGUUACUUUUCUCUCUCUUAAUUAAAACAUUAAUUCUCUCAAAAAUUUUAGAUUUUCAUUGGAUAUCCAUUUCAAUAACCAACCAAAUAUCUUUAGAUGAUUCGUCGUUCCUUUUUCAUUCCAAAAUAAUCCAAUUCAAGUGAGACCUCUCUGAAGCACUCUUUGAUGAAAUUGCGCUAGAAAAUGGGUGCAUGCAUGUCUGGGAGCUUACAAACUAGUACACAAAUAGGAGAAUAUUGAGAAUUGCUCCGUAAAUAAUAGCAAUACUUGCGCGAUGUACAGAAAUUUUCUGAGCACUAAAUUUAAAGAGAACUUUGGUAUUGAACGAAGCAAUAUCCAAGUCUCUUUCAUGUUUAUUAUAGCAAGACUAUAAUUGCUUCGCCCUCACGGCUCAAACAUUAUUGCUUCCUUUCUCUUUCUUAUGUUAUAGUCAUGGAAUUCCUUUUUAUGCAGUGCUCGAAAGGUUGUAUCGAUAUCACAAUUAUUCUUUUUAUUGGGCAAAAGGACAGCAGGAAAUCCGAGUUAAUCGUAGAAUGACAGUUCGUGUCGGAUUUCAUUAGUCGAAGGCCGGAUUCGUGCGAGUUCGUUCGGUCUCACAAAUUUCACGACGAACAACUUCAAAUUCUGAAAGGAACUAGAACUAAGAUUUCGAAGCUCAAACUAAUUAGGUUUCCACCAGAGUAAGCCUUAAAGAGUCUAAGAUAAUACAGAAUAUAUAAAGUACUAGAAAAAAACGUAUAAAACUUAUCUGAAUUAUGAAUCAUUUUGAAAAGUUUGAAUUUUACUAUCUCAUUUUUCAAUUUGUUUGAUUUUAAAUCGGUCAAUAGUAAUUUGACUUCAUAAAUUGCAUAUGUCGUUUAUCUUUACAAGUUUAAUUAGUUUAUUUUCAUACAAAUUAAAAGACUGGAUAAUAAAAUUAAUUCUUUUAAAAAAUUGAUAGCAAAUUUAAAAUGACUCAUAAUUUAAAUAAGUUUUGCAGAUUUUUAUCAAAGUAUUAUCAUAGUACAGCAUCACCAACCAUAACUCAACAGUUGCGUUUCGUGCAGGUCAAUUGGUAGGCACCGUAGUGCGGAAUAAAUUAAAAGAAACAAAGCUUGGCAUUAAUUUCUUGUAUCGACAAAUAUUUUGAGUCUUAAUCGUGGAAAAGAAAAUAAAGAAGAUGUUGGGUGGACAAGGGGGAUGAUGACAUGGUCCAGUGCGGGCUCAUUUAUGACUCAUAAAUCCAUAAAUUUGGUCCGCGAGAGCGACACGGGUGCGCCACACUAGACUCUUUUUAAGCAAGUGCAUAACACAAAUGCCUUUUCUUUUCUUUUUUUAUUUAUUUAUUUUUUUUUGGGCUUUGACUAUUACUUCCCCUAUGAUGAGGCAAUUCGCCAUCAAGUUUGCAACUGUCAUAUGGAGACUUAUUCGCCAUACAAACGUGUACGGUGUACUUCAAACUGUAUAAAAGUAUAAAAGUAUUUUAGUACAUGUAUAUAUAUAGUAUUUGUGCAUCAACUAAUUAAUUGGUUACUACUUGGGGGAGGUGGUGUUCUAUAUAGUAGUGGCAUCAUAUUAUUUGUAUCUCAAUCAAUCAAAUUUUUGUUGAGAAAAAAUAUAAUAUUUUUUUAACAAAAAAAUUGAGGGAUAGGCCAACUACAAUGUCACAAUUUGAUUGGUCGUGGACACGGGUGAAGCAGUGUCACCGCUAUAUUUUAUACUUUAUUUUUUUUUUUCGGAGGAGUUUUCUGAAUUGGCUCAAAUUUUUGUAUAUUGGCUCAAGGUACGAAAUUAUUACAUAUUACAAACCUGAGGGAACUCAAAACUCGGAAAAUUCUAUUUCAAAACGAUAUUAGAAAAUGUGAAAUAAUCGUUUUGCUGCUAAAAAGUAAAGCUGUCAAAUUGAAAAAAAAUUGUAUUUUUUGAUAUUUAUAUUCUAUAAUAUGGAGCUUCUGAGGAGAAUUAUAAGUAGCUUGAUUUGUAUUUACUGCAUGGCAAGGACCACACAAUGUGUUUAAAGAUAAGUGAUCUUGCUGAAGCUGCUUAUAAAGAAGUGUAAGAUCUUGAUGUGACCUUGCUUAAAAGUAUGCUUCUAAAUAAGUCUUUGGCGUAUGAUCUUCUUUCUUCUCUUUCUUUUCCUUUUGUUUUCUCUUACUUUAGGCAUCCUUUUAUUUGAAAAGGAUUUUCUUUCUUUCAUUUCCGCGUUCUUAUCCUCCCUUGGGAAAAGUCUUUAUUGCAAUAAUUACACCACACAAAAAUAUAUCCAAACUAAUUAUUUUAUUAUUUUCAUAUAAAGUAAGAAUUUAAGUACCGCUGCAUGAAGUCGUGCUAGAAACGAAACUUACGGGCACGAUGCAUAUCAAGUUAUGCCGAUGCUUACCGGUUACAAAAAAUUCAUAUGUGCCAACACAUAAUAUCGUAAAAUAUUUAUUUUCUUUAGCAACAAAAUAUUCUAACUAUUUAUUAUAUAUUUUUAUCAAAUUAUUUGAAUUUUACUGAAAAAAUUACUUAUUAAUUUAAAGAAUAGAAGACCUUGAGCGGUACCAUCGGCACGGAGACUAUGUCAUGCCGAUAUCUAGCACGAUAAAAACGGUUCGUGUCGCAUGGACUUACAGAGUAAUUGUGAUAGAAAAAACACUCUCCUCGCUAAGCACUUCGCGUCUCAGAUCCAGUAGGAACUCAGAAAUCUUAACUAUUUAUUGAUAACUCCCUUUAAUAUGUAUACACUUUCUACCGAUUUAUAAAAUUUUGAGGGAUUUUUUAUGAUUACUUCUUUUUUGACAAAACAUGAUGGCUUAAAUCUUUGAUCGCCUUAUAAUUUUGGUUAGUUCAAUUAUUUGAGAAGAAGGGGGUUUUAGGCCACCCAAGUUAGGUACUAAUUUAUCAAUUUUUCCCAUUUAGUCUUAACAUUUUUACCAGUAACUAAACUAGAUCACCACUCUAUUAGAACAAACAUAAACUGAUCUAUCUGAUGCUCAAGUUAACAUUUCUAAACCACAAGAUAUAGUGGCAUGCAUCAUCAGUUUGUUAUCAACAGUGUCAAGAAAAAGGAGAACAUACGAAAAGCAGCUUGUUCAUAUCAGUUGCCACUUUUCUUCUGAAGGAUAAGAAAUUAAAGUAGCUUGUUCAUAUUGUUCAUAUCAGGCAGUGGCAAUAAUUCGUCUCUUGUUGUUACCUGUAAACACAUAAUCCCUUCUGGUUCUUUGCUUUUGCUGCUCCAUUUGCUGCUAUUUGGCAUAUAGCUUCUGCAUCAGCUGCUUCUCUCAGCAGAAAAUAAAAGAAACAGAAGCUUCAAUUUUAGCACUUACUAGCUCGCAAAUAGUACGCAGCUGGUAAGCAAUGUUGAUCAAAAAAAGUGUUCUACUUAUUUCAGACAGCUCUUCUCAAAAUAGCACCUUUGUAGAAGCUCUAACAAUACCACAGAUGUGCGUGGCUCGCUGAUAUGGAUAACAUGGUUUCAGAAAUAUCAAAAAAAAGACUACAGAGGUAUUGAAAAUUCUUUACGGGAUUGGAUAAGAUUUUGAGAAGAUACCCGUCUGAAAGCGGAUUGAUUCAAUCAUCUUGUCAAGAUCAUCGGUGAUCACAGGCUGUUGUUGGUGAAAUGAAUCUGUCUAGAUCAUGAAACUUGUAAUCAGCUUCUAAACUGACCUGUAACCCAGAGCGCAUAACAAUUCCAACAAAGUAUCUGUACCAUGAACUAAGCUUACAUAGCCAUUGCGCGAAGUUUGGUAUGUUACUUGCUGUUGAAAGAACUUAACCUUCGGAUUUGUACUCCAGCAAGUAUUGAACUAUAAGAUGUCACACUAGAACUAAUAUGCAUCUAAAAUGAAGCGGAGCUGAUUUGUUCCCCAGUUCUCAGCAUGUGCACAAAAUCUUCCUGAGUGGUAAAAGAACAGGAAAGCUGAAAAUGAGAAAAAAGGAAAGAGGAUAUGAAAUCGGCGUAACUUCUGCUGAAUUCUGAACACAGCCCAUACCUUUAAAUCAUUAAAGAAGCCCAGAAUGUUUAUACUUCCAAUGACCAUAAGAUAUAUAAUAGUAACAUAAAAUUACCAAGUUCACUAAUAUUACGAAUUAUCUGAGAUUAUUUUCCCUUGAAUUUAUACGAGCAGCUAGCACGUAAAGGGGAUCCCAAAAGAUCCUCAUCCUUGUACUGUGUUGUUGUUGCUAAACUCUUUAGGCAUGAAACUAUUUAUCCACUCGACUUUUUUUUUUACAAGAUUCCACUGUAAGUUCCGCAAUCUUUCUCAAAAAUAACUAGUUAAUUUAAUUUAUAUAUAUUACUGAUCAAUGUGAUAAACUUAUUCUUUCCUAUUAUCGUUUGUUUUCUCGAAGGUAUGCAUGCCAAGCUAAUUAGAGAGUCGAUACGGUUAAUGCCCGGCCUCGACGGAAAAGAUGCUAUUUCUAAUUUACAGAAAAAUAAGUAGAAUACUAUGAACUACAAAUAUUUUGAGUCUAUUCGACUCAACAAGCAUUUUCCGCACAAGCACUGUUUGAUUUGAGUUCUCUGAUUACAAAAGCUUAUCUUAAUAAAAUCAUCUCAAGAACUCUCCCUUGAAAGCUAGAAUUUCUCAACAUAGAUAACAUACUAAAAAGAAUAUUAUAUGAAGGAAUAGAGGUUAAAUAUAUCAUUGUACUGUGUUACGGUGCUAUCCAUCAUCAUACACACUUCUUAGCUAGGGAUGGCGACAGGAAGUAGGUUCAGAUCGGCCCAGUUGAUCCAAAUCUGACUUAGACGCACCAGCAUAUGUCUCAAUGUUGGCUCGUUCCAAACCCCUGAAACCGGAGGCUUGACAGAGCCAACGAGCCAACAAGCUGAGCUCGAGUUGAUUCAAAAGUUUGACGAGCUAAGCUCUUAGCUCGAGAUCGAACCUUGCGAUCUCGCAUCAGCUCGCUUGAGCUUGGCUUGUUUACACCCAUAACUCAGGCUGUUGGGACCAACGCAAUUGGAUUUGGACCUUACAUUACAUACCAGUUGCUUUGCUUCCACAGACGUAUCGUUGCCGUUCGAUGCCCCGUGUGCUUCCAAUCACAACCGUCCGAUUCGAUACUGUAGGUAGACCUUACACUGUAUAACGGUCCGCCCGAUCAUGAACCCCGGGACCACCGUGAACCCCACGGUGGGCCACCUCCCCUCCUCUCCUUCGCCGUCGUCGUCGUCCUCCUCCUCCGCGACGCUCUCCAUGUACACCUCUGAGAACCUCUCACCCCUCCUAACCCUAAAGAUCGACCCCACCUCCGCGCACUCUCCUUCCCUGUCGAAGGAGAAGAAGAGGCAAUGGAGGAGCCACACCCUCCUCGCCAUCUCUGCGAACUCGGCGAAGAACUCCGACUUCAUCAUCUCCCUCUGAUCCAUCCCCUUAGAGAAAGAGGCCUCCAUCUUCGGGUGCACUAACCCUAGGUACUUCGCCUUGUAGAACUGCCCAAGGGGCGAUCGCGAGGUCCUCUCGUCGAGCGCACGAUUCGGCGUUGAGGAGUUGAUCUCCCCGAACUCGCGGAAGAAGCGGGCGCGAUCCCACUCGGAUCGGAGGAGAUCGAAGCCGCGGCGGUGGAAGCCGGAGAACAUCACGCGGCAGACGAAGGAUUCGAAGGCGAGGGCGCGGUGGCUAGGGUUUCGGAGCCGCACGUCGGCAGCGGCGGCCGCGGCGGCGUCGAGGUCCCACCCCGCGGAUUCCAUCUUCGUCGCCAUGGAUUUCGCGAAGGAUCGGAUGGACCUGAGGGUGUAGCGAAGGGCGGUGCGGAAGUGGCUAGGGUUUAGGCCGGAGAGGUGGAGGCCGUCGAGGGCGGAGAUCGAGCGCCCGUGGCGGAGCCGCGCCUCUAGGGCUCCGCAAAGCUUCUCCGAUCCGAGGAGAUCGGAGCUGAGGGAGCCCAUCUCGGCGUCCUUGAGCUCGAUCUCGCUCUCCAUGGCUCGGAGGGUGACCUCGUAGGUGGCGAUGAGGUGGCGCCGCUCCUCGAUCUCGGCGGCGGAGGGAUCGGGGCGUGGUCGGGGGAGGUCCCUGCGGUAGGAGCGCUUGAGAUUGGAGAGGCGCACGAGCUCGGCGACCACUGCGCGGUCCGCGGCGUGGAUCGCGUCGGGGUCGUAGGGCGACUCCGCGAGCUGGAGCCGCGCGUAGGCGGCUUUGAUAGCGGAGACGCUCGCGAAAAGCGCCGCGAGGAGGGACUCCGCCUCGUCCCUCUCCGCCAUUAACGGUGGGAGCUUCUUCUUCUUCUUCUUCUUCGUCUUCGUCUUCCUCUCGAGCUCGUCGUCGUAGAGCUUGAGCUUUGCGCUAAUGGUGGAGGAGGCGUCGUCUUCAUCGGCGGCGGAGGAGCGGCGGAGGCGGAGGAGCUUGGUGAAGGUUCUUUUAAUGGAGGCGAGGUGAGUGGGAGGGGUUGGGCGCAACGUUUCCAUGGCCAUUGUCGCUUCUCUUCUCCUUCUUCUUCUUCUUCUUCUUCUUCUUCUUUGAGGAAUUUGUUCUCUCUUGCAGGCUACACGGAGGGUUUUAGCUUCGCCAGCUAUUAUAUGGAGAGUAGUGACAACGGUAAGAAUCUUUCGCUCCGUUCGAAACGAGCUUUUCAGAGGUUUUGUUUUGGCUUUUGUUUAAAAAAGAUAAUAAUGCGGAGAGAAGGAGAUAUUAAUUUUUUUAAAAAUUUUUAAGAACGGAGGAAGGAGGUGCAAGAAGGUGCUGGUAGAUUCUCUACAAACUCUGGUGGAUCAUCGAUCUGCAGGUGCGCCGCGCAAUCUUCAUCUGUGAUUCAAUGGUCAUAAUCUAAAUUUCUCUGCUCUCACAGACGUAUUAAUUCCCUUAUCCUAUUAGUUGUUACAUUUGAAAUGUGAAAUGCUAAAACAAAUUACUAAUUAUGAUAUGUUCAAAAUCUACUCAACAAACACUUAAGAAUAAAUUGCAUUCGAUUAAACAAUAGUACGAGUACUUGCUAUUAUUAUAAUAUUUAAAAGUGUUAGAAAAGUUAGUAUACAACCAAUCAAAAGUAAAACUAGCAAACACCGAGGUGGCGAGGUCCCAACUUUCGCACAAUAUUCCCCCAUUAUUUGGAUUCUCGUGUUAAUAGGAGCAUGUCCCCCAUUAAAGGUAAUGAAGCAGAGGAUUAAAAUAAGCAAGGAAAUGAGCUUUGGUUUAUUGGGAGUAGAGAAAUCUUGGAAUAAUGCAGGACCAGUGGCAGCGAACCUAAAUCAUGCUCGGUUGUCAGGGGUUAUUAGAUUCGUUUUACAAAUUUAAAAAAGUGUCAUAAAUUAAUCUGAUUAGGUUCCAUUUAUUAAAAAAAUAUACAUAUGAUUAAUUUAGCCGAGUAGGCCAAUUGAGUUAAAGCAGGGACUGGUGCUGUACUGCUGUGGACCAGAUCGUCUCUUUGCCCACCUGCAACCCACUUAGCUUGCCUAUCAAUCACUUUGCAGCGUAGCCCUGUACUAGCAAAAUAUUCUUAUGUAUCCCCAUAUUGUUCAUAUUUCAUAUCUGAGAAACAAGUUAGUUUCUGAACUUUCACAUGCUCACUGUAAAAUAAAACUAUAAUCCUAUUACAACUUAUAUGUUUUUGAUUUUUGUCUCCACUUGAAGUAAAUUGAAAUAAUCGAGUCAUUUCAAAGAAAAGUAGUAGUAGUUAUGUAAAAAAGCAAAUUUUCAUCAGUGAUCACAUGUUGAAGUUAAGUUGCUGAAGUGUGCGAGGACCAAACUGUAAUGCGGAAACGGCAGAGGAUCUACCUAUUUAUUUGACUCUACGUUUAAUUUAUGGGCACCCGCGUCGUUUGCACGGGAAAGUUUCGAGAUAUAUUAUUACAUCCUAGUUCUGUUCUCUCUCCCUGGGCCACUCCCUACUAAUAAACUAUUUGGUUUGGUGAAUGUUUUGCUAACGUUAGAUCGUAUUAGGAUGGUCCAUUAAUCCGGUUCAGAUCGGGUGAGGGCCGUGAGGCACUCAAUAUAGAAAAGCAUGAUUCCUGCUUUCGUUUUAGCAUAUGGGAGGGCCAUUGUUCUAAACUUCAGCUGGCAUGUGAGAUGAACUCGAGCCGUGCUCGACAAAUUCGCGCUGCCUCUAAAGAUUCAGAGUUUGGCGCUGCAAAGCAGGAGACGGAACUCGCUGCAAUGGGCGGCGCUGGUGAGACAAGGUUGCUGCCAGCUUCGUACGGUUGGAGCUCGCGACUUUGUCUCAAAGUUUGCACAGUUGAUUUGCGCCCAUUUUACGACAAGCAGUGCAAUGGCCCAUUAGUAUUAAAAAGCAUUUGCUGGCCCAAAAUUGUGGGCCAUUGCUGCAGUGAAAACCUAUUAGGAGUUCUUACAGUAUGUUUAGCACUGCGGCACGAUGCAGAUCAUGCAGUGCGGUAGAUAAAUCGUUAUCUAAGAUGUCAAAAGCUCGACCUAUUAGAAUGGCUCUGAUGCCACUUGUGAAUCGCAAUCGCUAACCAACUAUCUCAAAAACACGUGUUGAUAGAAAAGACGCAUCCAUCGCACUUAAGAGCUCAGUCACAACGCUCGCAGGUUUCGACAUGACUCAAUUCAUCUGAAAGUUGGUCUCUUGCUAUUAGAUCUCUUGUGGACCACACAGCCACUCAAUUUAUUAGUCUUAUGGGUCUAUUGUUACGGAGUAAAAAGUUAGACCUAUUUUAACCCAACAAUAAAAAACUAACAAGAAGCACUAUAAUAAACUUGUGAUAAGCUCUAAAAUUGGAUUUUUUUUUUAUGCUUAGGGUUGAAAAGCUUGCAUCUCCUUUCUACUGCACUAGAAAGCUUCCUAGUGUUUUGAUUUCUAAUCACAAGAGCUCUUUAUGGAUAUUAAUGUAUUGCAAAUUCAUAUGAUAUUUUUAAAAUAUAUGCAUGAACCAAUCAAAAUUCUUUAUAUGAUAUCCUUUGUAAGAAUAGUAAUUGUAUGAUAUCCGUACCAUUUCUACGGAUAUUAUAAUGCUGCAGACCAUUUAGAAUGUUGGACUAGCGUAUUGCCAAUGAGUUGGCAUAUAUUAUCCGAAUGCUCUAAUUAAUUCGUACAAGAAUUUUAAAACAUCAUGCAAAUUUAUUAACACAUCGAUAACAUCCGUAACCACACAACAUAUAUAAAAGAUUUAUGUUUGAUUUAUUAUUUUAAUUUAUAAUCAAUAUGAAGUUUUUUUUUUUUUCUUUCCGAAGGAAGGAGAUUUUUAAUUGGAGAUAUGUUCGUGCAUUAUUUUGGCUAAGGGUGUAAAAGCACACUGAAAAAAAAAUUUCUGUGGAAAACAAAAACGCGCGCGCAAUGCCGGGGAGAAAAGCGCGCGGUCCACGAGGUCGAGCAGCCCUCGUGGACCGCGCAGAGAGGCGCGUGAAGAGAGAGGUCCGUAGACCCCUCUCACCUCUCUUCUCUCUCCUCUCUUUCUCUCUCUAUAUAUAUAUAUAUAUAUAUAUAUAUAUAUAUAUAUAUAAUAUAUAUAAUAUAUAUCUAGUAAAAUGUACGUGCAGCACAUAUAAUUAUUAGAAGAAGUUAUAAAUUUUUUAAAUUAUUUUUUGAUUUUAAGGCCAUAUUUUAUAUGAUUGCCAAAUAUAUAUCUAAAAAUUUAAAAUAAUAACACGCUAUUAAGAAAGAUAUGGUUUAAAUGAUAAAUAAUUAACAAUAAUCUCUAAUGCAAAAAUUACUUUUGAAAUUAAAUAGAAAAUAAAAUCUGUUAGGAAAUAAAUUUUUGAAAUUAAAUAGAAAAUAAAAUCCGUUAUCUUGAAAAGAAAAUAUAUUUUGAAAUUAAAUAGAUAAAAUCUAAAAAAUAUUUUAAAAUAAAUAAAAAAAUAUCUUUUAGGAUUUUCACACCCGUAAUCUGUUAUAGAAAACUUACUUUGAAAUUAAAUAGAAAUUUAUAUUUUAGAUUUUCACAUCAGUAAUAUGUUAUAGAGAACUUACGUAUUCAUUGCUGUUUCUAUUUCUAUUCUUAUUCUUAAUAUUUAAAAUUUUCGUAUGGAAAGAGAAAAUGGGCGCUAAUUUUUCCGCCCAAAAUGGGUCUGUCGACAGACCCAAAUUUAAAUAUACGUAUGGGUCUGUCGACAGACCAAAUUUAAAUAUAGCGUGUUUAUAUAUAUAUAUAUUAUACUAGUAAAAUGUACGUGCAAAUGCACAUAAUAUAUUAUUAGAAAAAAUUAUAAUUUUUUAAAUUAUUUUUAAUUUUAGGCCAUAUUUUAUAUGAUUUGCAAAUAUGUAUCUAAAAAAUUUAAAAUAAUAAAUCACGCUAUUAAGAAAGAUAUGCUUUAAAUGAAAAUAAUUAACAUAUCUCUAAUGCAAAAAUUACUUUUGAAAAUAAAUAGAAAAAUAAAAUAUGUUAGGAAAUAAAUUUUUGAAAUUAAAUCGAAAAAUAAAAUCCGUUAUUAUAAAAAGAAAAUAUAAUUUUGAAAUUAAAUAGAUAAUAUCUAAAAAGAUAUUUUAAAAUAAAAUGGGAAUAUAUUUUUUAUAGGAUUUUCACACCCGUAAUCUGUUAUAGAAAACUUACUUUUGAAAUUAAAUAGAAAAAUUUAUAUUUUAGGAUUUUCACAUCAGUAAUCUGUUAUAGAGAACUUAUGUAUUCAUUGCUGUUCUAUUUCUAUUUUUUUCUUAUAUUUAAAAUUUUUCGUACGGAAAGAGAAAAAUGGGGGCUAAUUUUUCCGCCGAAAAAUGGGUCUGUCGACAGACCCAAAUUGAAUAUACUGUCUUUUAUAUAUAGUAUAGAUAGUAUAAGAUAUAUAUAUAUAUAUAUAUAUAUAUAUAUAUAUAUUAUAUCCACCUCAUAUAAAUUUAUUAUAUAGAUAUAUAUAUUAUUUUUAUAUAAAUAUGCAAAUUAAUAUAAUAUUUUAUGUAAUAUUUAUUUAUUAAAUAUAUAAUAAUUAUUUUUAUAGUAUUUAAAUAUAUGUACUAUAUAUAUAUUAUAUUAUAUAUACUAUUUAUAAUGUAUUUUAAAUAUAUUUUAUAUAUUAAAUAUUAAAUUAUAAUAUUAAUAUAUGUAAUAUAUUAAUUAUUAAUAUAUUAAUAUAUUUAUAGAAUAAUAUAUAAAAUUAUAAUAUAUAAUAUAUAUAGUAUAUUAAUUAUUAUAAUAAUAAUAUAUAAUAAAAAUAUAUUAUAUAGGUUUUAAUUAUUUUUCUUUCUCUUCAACCAAACAACCAUCAUCCAAUUUUUUUUUUUUCUACAAACAAAUUACAUAAGUAAUUUUUUUUCCAAAUUUUUUUUGACGAUUUUUUUUUUUACAGUUUUACAGCAAAACCCUAAGGCCACCGUUUGGUGGGGGGUUAAGGGGCUGGAUAACCAAAAGCUUAACCCCCAAUUUAUACCAAACAAUAUCUUUUGGGGUGGGGUUAUGUAAACCCCACCCCAAGGGUUAGUGGGUGUUAUACCCUCCCUACCAACUUUAACCCCGACGCAUCGCCGAGCAUCACCUUUUUCUUCUUUAUCAAUCAUUAACCCCACUCCCCCUCCCAACUUUAACCCCGCACGCAUCCCGAGCGCUCAACUUUUUCUUCUUUAUCAAUCAUUAUCUUUUUAUCCCACCUACUUCAACCAAACACAUUUUUUUACUAUUCUAGACUAAUUCCAACCUCCAACUAAACACAAAAAAAUUUUAACACCAUUUUAACCAUGAACUUAACUCUAUUCCUAAAAUAGCUACUUUUUCUUAACUCCGAACCAAACGGGGGCUAAAGUAAGCCAAAGUUUGUCGCGACCCCAAACAUCCCAUCAAGCAGGCAUUUAUUAUUUAUUUUUAUUAUUAUUACCUUCGCUUUCCCAAAUGAUUCUUCUCUUCUUUGUUCCCAUUACACUCCUACACUCACUACACAUACUCUGAACCCUCGCCUCCUCAGAAGCCCACAAAAAAAAAAAAAAAAAAAAAAAAAANAAAAAAAAAAAAGGCAGAAGAAAAAAAAAAGAAGAAAAGGAGCCUUUGCGUUUCUCUUUGCUUUGCUCUACUGCGAAAGCGCCAUGAGUAGGAGAAGAUCCCUCAUCCUCCUCGUCUUUAUCGCCACCUCCCUCCUCGAAUCCGCAGCGGCCCCUUCUCCCACAGGUGAUUUGAGAGAUACCCGCGUCUCCUUUCUCCCGCAUUUCGCCCCUCCUCGCUUCUAAUCAAAACCCUCGCUUUUUCUCGUUUUUAUGCUCUCGUUUGAUCGCAGGAGCUAUUCUGAAGCAACUCUCCACAGUGGUCAAAUGGCCGAGAACUUCUCCGAAGAUAUCCCAAAACGGUAAUUUGCGGCACUCGUAAGCAGUAACGAGCAUUUGAGCUCUCUCUUUUUUUUUCUGUUGUUUUUGUGAUGAUUUGAUCGAAAUUUUUUAUGGUUAUUCGUGAUUUUGGAGUAAUUUGCUUAAAAGUUUGAUCUUUUUGUAGAUGGGAAUGUUCUACAGUUCGAGAAUGGGUAUUUUGUGGAGACCCUUGUGGAGGGGGACAAGCUGGGGGUGGUUCCCUACACUAUUCGGGUUUCGCCCGAGGGCGAGCUUUUUGCUGUGGACUCUGUGAACAAUAACAUUGUGCGGAUUACUCCCCCUCUCUCCCAAUGUAGGUUCUUUUAACAGCUUUUUCCCUUCUUAUAAGUGUAUUUAUUGUCCUACUUGUUUUAGUCAUUAGAGGUGAGUUUUUGGUUUUUAUUUUGUUUCUGUCCAUUGAGUAUCUGUUUUGGUGGUUUCUUUAUUGCCUGUUUCAUGGAUUAGGUAUGAGUUGUUUCCUUUACCUUUGUAUAGGUUUCUUUUUGUGAAUUAGCAUGGCUUAUGAUAACAUUGCUUAAUUGUAUGUAACCUGUUUGUUCUUUUGCCUAGGAUGCUUGCAUACCUUGUUUAGUUGUAGUAGUGUGAGAAAAAUUAAGCUUCUUCAUAACCUGCUUUAUGUUGUUUAAAGCUAUGUUCUCUUUUCGUUUACAUACUUUGAUACACUAAUAUGACAGGGUUUUGCAUAAGUAGGCCACUUUUUUUUAGCUUUUGUGACUUUGGAUCAUCUUUUCCGUUUCAUUUUGGCAACUUUAGUCUCCUUUUAAUCUUUAAAUUGGAAUGCCCUUACACUUUAAUUUAAAAAUGUAAAUCUGUCUCACAAACAAAAUGUAUGAAAGCGAGAGAAUGAAUCGAGAAUGUUUUUGUCCGGAAAAGUUGAAAGCAAGUUAAAGUUUCAACUGUGAAAAGUAAUCUUGACAUGCCAAAAUAAAAAUAUUUUAUUUUCUCCAAAAUCUCCGUACACAAUUCUGUGGACUGAUAUGGGAAUUUUUGUAGAUAGCAGAGGAAGACUGGUUGCAGGGUCAUUUCAAGGAUAUUCAGGACAUGUAGAUGGUAAACCGAGUGAUGCCCGAUUCAAGCAUCCUAAAGGUGUCACUAUGGAUGAUAAGGGGAAUGUCUAUGUCGCUGAUACUGCAAAUCUCGCCAUUCGUAAGAUCGGGGAAGCAGGUGUGCUAUUUUGAAUUAUAGAACCAAGUUUAGUUUGGUUUUGCAUUAAGUGCAAAAAAAAAAAAAAGAAGAAAAAACUCUCGUGCAGGAGUGACAACUAUUGCUGGAGGAAAAUCAAAUGUCGCGGGAUAUAGAGAUGGGCCGAGUGAGGAUGCUAAGUUCUCUACCGAUUUUGAUGUGGUAUAUAUGAGAAAAACCUGCUCUUUGUUGGUUAUCGACCGUGGAAACGCGGCUCUUCGCCAAAUCUCCCUUCAGCAAGAGGAUUGCGACUAUCAAUAUAGCUCGAUUGCUCCGUCAGGUAUGGAUCAUAUCCUUGUUCGAUAUUUCACAAUAUAUAUUUUUCAAGGACUAAUUCCCAUAUCAGCAGAUGUUCGUUGUAUUGAGUAGUAAAUUAAACGAUAUCAUUUUGCGGUACAAAACUUGAAAUUAGUGGCAUGUUGUUAUAACAAUACCAGACAACCGUAGUUUACUUUCCUGUAUACUUCAUUACAUUACUUGCUACUUAAAUCAACUAUAUGUGCCAUUCAUUGGUGGUCAAGCGUCGGUUACUAUCAAAAGAUAUCAUCCUAUCUUUGGUGCUUCUUUUCUUCAAUCUGUUUACACUGUAAACAAGUAGUUAAAUCUUUUCUACUUCCAAAAGGUAGAGCUAUUUUCUUUGUUUGCAGCAUUAAUGGAUGAAUCAAGUAAGUUGCAACCUAUAUUAAUUGAACUAGUAAGAUACUAUAUGCUUCUCAUGUUCAUCAGAGGGAGAAUUCUAUACAGUCGGAACUUGAAUGAGCAUAAAGAUUCAUCUCGGGGCAGAUGCACAAACAAGUAUUCUUUUAGUCAUGAUCUCUUAAAAAAAUUUUCUUGUCGUUAUACAUUCUGAUGAGACUUUAUAUUUGUGCCAAAAAUGAUCUCUUUGUGCUUCUUCCUGAUAGGUAUAAUUUUUUUUUUCUUGAACCUUCCUGGUUUAAAUUUUAAUGACUAAUUCAUCUGUUGUUUUACUCCUUUUGCCAGAUAUGACAAUGGUAAUUGGUGCAGUCUUGGCUGGAUAUGUAUCUUGUUUGCUGCAGCAGGGGUUUGGGCCUUCAAUUUUCCGCAAGGUGCUCUUUGACAAGUAGUUUCCAUUUUGAAUGGGAACUUGUUUUAUGCAAGUUUCUGUCUUCUUAUCAACUUUCUAUGGAUUAUAUGAGAAGUAAUUUGGAUAACUAUAUAUCCUUAACCUAAUAUAUGUCUCUGACUACUAAUAUUUAUUCACACUAACUGCUAAUAAUUCAGAAACAAGUGACUGAGGAUGAACAACGGGAGCAUAGCACCGAUGAAAAGCCUCCUCUAAUCGUCGAAAGCCUAAAAGAGGAACCGGGUGCAGGAUGGCCGUCAGUUGGAACACUUCUCACAGAUCUCUUCAAAUUUACCCUCGAAGCAAUUGGUAAUUUGCUUCUCAAUGUCAUCCCCUUCCUACGACGAAAUAAAACAAAAGCAAACCUCACCCCUCUCAAAGACCGCCUGGUCAUGCCCGAGGACAGAGAAGAAACUCCAGUAACUCAUAAGCUAAAGACCACUCCAGCUAUGUCAGAAUCUAUCCAUGCCCCUAAUACUAUCAAUGAACCUACUCCGAAGCCCCAAAAAAGUACCAAAACACCCAAAUUCAAGGAUUCCUCUCUCCCGAGCAAGCAUAGAUCCUCAAAGAGACAAGAUUUUGGGGAGUUUUAUGGUGCGUCCGGAGACACGACUCAGCUAAGUUCGAAGGGCCAGAAGGAUAGAGUGAGGCAUCGCUAUCGAGAAAAGAGUGGAGAGGUUGGUUUAGGAACAGGUGGUGGUGCGGAGCCAAAGUUGAUGAAGUCGGUGGAUUACGGUGAUCCUUCCAAGUUUGACCAUUACAACAUUAGGAGCAAAUAUGGCGGUGCAGAGGGUGCCUACAGGUACUAAGGUUGUUAGUUUAGCCACCAAUAUGAAUCUCUUUUUCAUCUUGCAUGUCAUGCUUUUUGACUGAGUGUGGAUGCAAAACUGCAUAUUAGCAAUAUCAAGACCACCAAACACUUAUUUAGUGCUAAUGCAUUGUCUCACUUUUCUUAAUCUUCAAGCAGCUGGCGAUUGCAUUGGCCUAGUAAAGAUUUUGCGUGAAUUGUUGUCUCAAUUGUCUAGUUGCUUACUUGGUUGUUUUUUUUUUAUUUUUUUAAUAUUUUUCCAGAUAUAAGCUUUCUCAAUGAGGAAGCUAGUUCUAUUGCAUGUGAUGUGUCAUUCUUAUUAACAUUUUUGACAUUAUAGUUUCCAUUUUUCAUAGUUUAUGGGUUGCUUCAAGUACAAUAUGAAUCUAACACCAAAAACGGUGCGCUUUUUUAAUCUGCUCUAUUCAAAUAACACUUUUUGAAGCCAAAUUGGCUUUGGCCUGAUCAGAUCCACGUGCAAGACCACAUACUAAUCUUGUUGAUCUGAGGUCAUGUAAGACGCGUACACUGAUUUUAAUGCAAAGCAGUGGUCUAACGCAAGAAGCCCCACAUUAUCAAACAAUUUGACUAUUGUUUUCUGAUCUGCGUCGCUAUCCUAUAGCUGUUCUUUGAGUGAUCUACGAAGAAGUUUGCAACUCAAGAGUGCUUUUUUUCUUUUUUUCCUUUCCUUUUUUUUCCUUUGUUUCUUCUGCUGAGUUUGCAUAUACUUAGAAAAUUGGAAUAAAAGAGCAAAGAAUCAUGUAAUGUCAUCUUUGGAUUGCAUAUUGUGUGCCAGAUGUAAAACAAUCGCAAGCUAUAUUCCGUGCGUGCAAAAAUUUUGUUUUAGGGAAUAUUAAACUAUAACAGGUAAGAUGUUUCGGUCACGGCAUCAUUCUUUUUUAAAACAUAAUAUUAAGUUAGAAAAAAAAAUAUAAUGUAUUAAAAUGUAGAAAUAAAAAGUAUUGAUUACAUGGAAAGCAUCUAAUACCCACACAAAGUCACUGUCGCCGGUAAUCCGUGGCACAGAAGAUUCAUGCACACCAGUAAUCUUAACCAUCUAUUCAAAAUAUGGGGAACAUAUCGACCAUUGUUAGCGAUUUCAUUAUCAAUUAAAAACCUAGUUUAGUAAUGUAAUGGCCAAAAACACAUUAUUUUUAUAUUGUAAAGUUGCGAUUGCAGUUGCAACUGUUAUCAGAAAAAACAUGUUGUGACGACUGCAACCGUAAUUUCAACAUAUUAAAGAAGAAAAAAUUGUAAACAUUUUAAGACUUUUUGAAUCUUUCCUAGUACAAACAUGAUAAUUGUGACUAUCAUAUUGUCAAAUAAGGUCUAAAUAAAUAAUUUCCUGUGCAUUAAAUCUGUGAUAAAUGAAUCGAUGAUAACGAUGGUAACCGAAAUAUUUGACGGUGGAUGGAGACACGCGGGUUUUGGUCGGCCGGUUCAAAUUGAGCAACGUACGCGCACCGUUCUAAACCUUCUGAAACUAAUUACGUAGCUUUCAAAGGGGGUAAAUUACACUUUUGAUCCCCAAACUAUUGCACGUAUGAUAUUUUAGUCCUAAAAUUUUAAUUUAUUAUUUAACAUUUUGUUCAAACUUUUUAAAUUAUUAUAAUUAAAUUUCACAACGUAAAAUUUAUAAUAAAUUAAAAUUUAAGGCGCAAAAUAUCACGCGUCUUAUAGCCCGAGGACCAAAGCGCAAAUUACCCCUUUCCAAAUUGUUCUUCUAGCCUGCAGGUUUUUGGUUAGAAAAUCGGUCGGGGUGACUCACCAGAGACGUGUCAAAUAACAUGAAUUUUAUUAUUAUUUGAAAAAGUAACGCAACGUGAAGAAAAAGGCCACUGCUUUACGGUGUCUUAGCUUGUAGUGGCAUUGCACUUAAAAUUCUCUUUAGCAAUUAAGAAUCAAGUGUUUUAAAUUUAAAUAUUUGAUUUUGGGUCACAAUAUUACAAUUUAGUUUCCUACUAGAAUUUGCUCGCUACGAUGGAUGCUGUUAAAAACAAAUAUUUCGCUUCGUUUAUUUCAUUUAGAAAUAAAUUUAGUUGGAAAUGUGAAUCAACUAGAAUUCGAAUUUAGGUCUCGGAUAUCAACUAUUAAGUUCUUUGCCACUUGCGCUAGAAACGGUCAGUCAAUAGAGACAUAUUUGAUAUGAAUGAAUUUAAGGUUUAGAUUGGAAAUCAUAAUGAUUAAUUGAGGGAUUAGCAUUUUAAUUUUUAUUCCAAGAAAAAAUGAAUUAUCCCAAAAUGAAUCUUCAUCAUGAAAAUGAGAAUUAACUUUAAUUCGGAAAGAAAUUGAGAACUAUUUUUUCAUAAAUAAUUAUUUAAAUUCAAGUAUUAGUCCAUAUUUAAUUUGAGAAUAGAUUAUACAUUUAAAAAUAAAUUUGAAGUAUGAACUUAAAAUUUAAUUUUUAAAAUUUUGAAUUUAAAUUCAAAUUCUAAUAUAAGUUUGAUAUGUUGAUGUACUUCUAAAUUUAACUUUUGACUUCAAAUUUAAAUUUUAAGUUUAAAUUACGAGUUCAAAUUUUGAUUACAAAUUCGGAGAGUAAAUUAAAUUUAACAUUUAAUUAAUUUUUUGUAUUUUAAUUUGGAUAUUAUUUUGAUUUCAAUUUCUCUUACGAACCAAAAUAAUUUUAUGAGUUUUCACCAUUUCAUUUUCAAUUUCAGCCUAUUUCUUUUUCUCUUUAUAUUUCUAUUUCUAUUGGGAUUUCGAUUUUUAUUGUGAACCUCUCUAAUUUUUUUCGAGUAUUUUGAGAUACACAUGGCAUUACACAUGAGAGGAAAUAACAGAAAACAUGGACAUAUAUAGUACGUGGAAAAAGGGAAUUGCUCGAGCAUUUGCGGUGUUCUUUGUUUUAUUCCGGAAGAUGGUGUGAUCAGAAAUUUAGAUCUAAUUAAUUUAAUCUCUCUAAUUGUUUAAAUUAGGGUUGUUGUCCAGCAUUAGCACGAUGCUAAUAAAAAAAUAAUAAUAAAUAAUACAUCAACUUAUCAACGAAUGGUCCAGUGAAAAGGACUACAAUUGAUGUUACAUUAUUGAUUUUUUAUAAACUUCUUUUAUUUUAUGUUGGCAUAAGAACUAACUGCAAUGCAGAUAUUCGAUCUCCAAGAAGAGAAGUUUUUUUUUUUUUGGUUUGUAUAUAUAUGACAUGUUAAUUUUUGUCAUAUUAGUGAGAUGAUAAUUAAAGGUGUAAUUAAUAAGAGUAAUAUAUAUUACAAAUCCAAUAUCUAAAUAACGUCUAAUAAUUUUUCUUUCUUCGUAUUUCGACGGCAAUGUUUUUAUUAUAUAUAUAUAUAUGUUAUUAUUCUUAUCGAGAAUAUUUAUUAUAGAAAAAAGGUUUCAUCUCCAAAUGGCCCUUAUCUAUAGUUAAAGCAAAAAGGAAUCGUUAUAUAUCAUCCACACCAAGUCACUAAUUUGUUCUUUUUCCCUGUUGUAGUUGCUAUGGAACCGGUCCGAGCAUGCAUGCACAAUAGCAGUAACUUAUUAAGUAGGAGUACUGAUUCAGUUGUUGGUUUAGUGGUUGAACAAACUUGUCUUUAAUAAAAAUAAUAAAUAUUUGCUACGAUUACAGAGAUAUAUAUAAAUUGUUCAUUUCAAGAUCAGUUUAAAACUUAGUUAAUUUGUACGGUUCAUUAAGAAUGCAACAGUACUAGUCAAAAGGGUUUCAUAUAAAACAUUAAAAGGUAAGUGCAACCAAGAAUAUUAAUUCUUCUGUAAAAAGAUUAUGUACAAAUACAUAUGAUAAGUAGAGUAGGGCUAGAAUACUUUUACAAGUAUCACCCAAGUGAUACUUGUGUGUUUUUAGCCCUUGGAUGGAAAGAUGUGAAGUUGAGAUGAUGGGAGUAGGUGGUGGUAGGUGGAAUAAUGUUUGAUCCAAGGGCUAUUUGUAAUCAAAAAGCAGAUCCAAUGGUUAAAAACGUGAUAGCAACAUGGGGAUGAUACUUGUAAAAGUAUCAUAGAUGAACUCUGAUAAGUAAAUUAAUAAAGUCCAAACCUUUUAGUCUAAUACUUGACGAGAUAAAUCCUUAUAAAUAAAACCUCAUGUCUGUGUCAUUUGUAUGGUUGGUCAACUUUAAACAUACACCCAAUGGCUCAGAAUCAACUCUAGGGCGGAGGUAAUUAAAUAACUGUUAAAUUAUGUGAAACAGUCGUUAUUUUUCAGAAAUUUAAGCUAUUAGAGAGUAGUAGUUUUAAAAAUUUGUAUUCCACACGUUCUCUCACAUGUAGGAGUUUCACAAAACUCAAACUCAAGAACUUCAGUUCUAAUACUAUGUUAAAUUAGGUGAAACAAUCGUUAUUCUUCAAAAUCUUAAGUUAACAGAGAAUGAUAUUUUUAAAAUUUAUAUUCAAUAAAUUUUAUUAUAUUCGAUUCAGCUCAAAUGAUAUUUUUAAUAUUUAUAUUCAACGAUACUUGAGAAUGCUCCUGCGAACUAGUGACAUAUAGAUUUACUAAAGAGAGAAAAUAAUUAAUUUCAAUGUGUGCUUAAGAGGAACUACUAUCUUCCAAGUAAAGCCAAUGCUAGAUGGAAAGAUUCUAUUGGACCAGUUCUCAACAUACACGCAUAUACAUACAAAAUAAAUAAAUAAAUAAAUAAUCAAAUAAAAAUUAUUUAUCAUAUUCGUUCACUAAUCAAGUUGCGAAGAAGUAAUUUGGUGAACCAAUUCCACUGUGUCUACCUAAUCCUUCAAAUUCUCAUCAUCUCUAAAUAAAACGAUUUUAAAUACAUGAAUACUAUUCAUUUAUGUGCUUUAAUUUUCACAUUUAGCGCACUUUACACAUGUUCGAAAUAGAAAUCUAAUUUUUAUCACAAAAUUAACAAUUUAUUCUUUACUCUUGAUAUAACACAAAAUCUACUUACAUAAUAAAUAUUAUAUGCUAUAUUUGAAAAAAAAAAAAAUUAAAACUUAUAGUUUUUUGGUGAAAAAUAUAUGAACGGAAUUGCAAUAUGUGGAUAGUGCAGGGACUACUCACACAUUUUAAGUUCAUAGAUUCGAUACUUACUUACACAUGGCACAAAUUACGUUGUUAACGAACGACCUUUAUUAAAAAAAUAAAAAAUAAAAAAUCUUGGACUAUCCCUUCUAUGUUUUUUAGAGUAAUAAAUCUUAAUUUUGCUUGGUCAAAAGAUAUAUACCUUGGGAUGGACAAAAGGAAGAGCCAAGAAUCAGAUUCCUCUUCAUUAAUUUCGAUUUUUGCCUUUAAUCCUUCUUACUAUAAAGAGUUAAAUUUCGACGUCCAAUUUUCAAAUAGUAUUUUCAUUAAAAAAACAAAAUAUUAAAAAUAAAAAAAUACUAAUUUUAAUUUCUUGUAAAAAAUAAAAAUAAAUUUAUUAAUUAUAUGAAGAUAUAUUAAAAUUUAUAUGGCUUUACCUCUCAUUUAUUUAUUUAUUUAUUAAUAAUUGACUCCUACCGACUCCUAAUGCGUUACAGCUACAGCCCACAGCCAUUCUAGUAUUCUACUAGUUCUAUUCACAGUCAAUAAAAAAAAAAGGACAAAUUUCAAAUGCCACUUCUGUAAUUUUAAAUUUUUUUAUUUUAAUAUCACGUAAUUUAAAGUGUAUCAAAUUAGUAUCACAUGAUUUUAUUUUUAUUUUUUUUGUCAGUUUUUUUGUUAAUAUUUCGUUAAAUUAUAUACAAAAAAUUUUAAAUACCCUACCUAAUUUUAUAGAAUAUUCACUUUAGUACUCUUUUAUUUUAAUUUUGUUACUGAUUUAAUAAAAAAAUUUAGUAAAAUCAAUAAUAAAAAAAUUUAAAAAAAAUUAUAUGAUACUAAAUUGAUAUACUUUGAAUCAUAUAAUACUAUAGUGAAAAAAUAUGAACUAUAAAAAUAAUAUUUAAAGUUUUUUUCAAACAUAAUAUAAAUAAAUAAAUAAAAGAAGAGAGGUCGCAGUGAAACAAGCCAAACCAAAACAAAACAAGACGUGUGCAUCGAACGACACGCCAUGCGCAGCCGUUGACUUUUAUCUUACACCAUUUCCACGUGGCCGGCGAAAUUACCACUCCACACCGUACGUUACCUACCCAAGCAUGAUUCUCCGAAAUUACCAAAUUACCCCUGCCAUUCAUUGGCUUUUGCUUUAUUAUUAUUAUUAUUAUUAUUUUUUUUUUUUUUUAAGUGCUGGUGUGAAUAAUUAUUUUGAGCAACGAGAAUAUCUAUUAACUGAGCUAUUCAGUUGUGGUUAUUUAUUUAAUCUAUAAUUCGUAUAAGAAAUUUUAAUUUAUUGUCGGGAUGUAGUAGUGAAUAUAUAGUGAUAGAAAUUUAUGAUCUAAUACUUGAUUGAGCUAGACAAUGCUGUUGUUCAAAUCGUAACAUAGAGAAAAUUUUAUUUUAUUUGUUUAAAAUAUUAGUUUUUUUAAGCUUUCUAGAUUGAGUUGGUCGCAGUAUGUAUGCAAAACAAUUUGAUUGUUUUAGUCAUUUCUCAAGAAUGUGAGCUAGAUCAUCACGUACAAUCGUGAGUGAAUAAUUAAAAAAAUAUAAUAUUUAUUUUUAUACAUAAUUUUAUAUUUUGUAUAGCACAAUUAAUUGAUUAUAAUUUUUUUUUCUGUCUGAUCUAAAAAUAUAAAAAUAUAUUAGAUUAUACUUCUACCUUAAUAUCAUUUUAUCUAUUACUUUUAUAUAGAUUGUGCUCUCAAGUUUGAUAUAAAAGUAGAAAGAACACGGACUGUUGGCCCCAGAAGUAAGUAAAGAAAACGAAGUCCUCUAAUUUUUUAAUCUGUGAAAGUAUUUUACAAAGACAUAAUUUUAUUUUGAGAAAUAGGCAGCACGCUACCCGCUUUAUUUAUUGGAUUGAUGAAUUAAGUUACAAGUGUGGGACAACCAGGCUCCGAGAGAAAAAAAAAAAUUAAUUAAAAGUAAUAUAUAUAUAUAUAUAUAUAUAUAUAUAUAUAUAUAUAUAUAUAGUUUGAUGGGAAAAAAAAAAAUGUAAACUUCGAAACCGCGUGUAUUUGGAGGGUGCCCGUACAAUUUAACCUACAUUGUUGAUUAAAACCAUUUUAAGGCCAAAUGAACUUUACCAAUAUGGUUAAUUAAACCAUAUUAAGGCCAAAUUGAGUUUAUUUGCCUACUUAAGUGCAGAGAUUACGUACCGGAAGAAGGUUCGCCCCGUGGAAAACCGCCUCUCUCUUUUUUUUGUUCUCUUCCUUAUUUUCUUCCUCGCGUUAGAAAAAUUUGCACGAGCACACACAACCAACGCGGAGGAGAUUCAGAUCCGAAAACCUAAUCGAUCGAAAAAUUCACGAACCCUUUUUUUUUUUUUUUUAAAGCGUAAACGCUGAUCGAAUCCUUCACCAAACCCUAAUCUCGACCGAGGAAGACGAAGACGAGGAGGAGGAAGAGGAGAGAAGGAGAGGGAUCGAAAUCCUAGCUCUCGCAGAUGUCGUCGCCUUUCGAUUUCCUCUCCCAUCAGCGGCGGCGAUCGCCCCUCGGCGGCGCCUACUUCGCUCCGGCGGACCUCGGCGGCGCCGCCCUUAUCGGCACCCUCUCCGCCGCCGCGCGCAGCCUCGUCGCCUCCUACUUGGCGGCGGCGGCGGCGGCGGCCCCCCCGUUGCAGAGGAGGAACGCCCGAUCCCUCGUCCGCAAGGUGAGCGUCAUGCUCGUCCUCUUCGAUUUCCUGAGCGAGUCCUACGGCGCGUCGUCCUCGUCCUCGUCCCCGUUCCCGCGCGGAUCGCCCGAUUCCGCCACGCUCUGCUUGAGGGAGCUCUACAUUUUCCUAUACCGCGCCCGGAUGCUCCUCGACUACUGCUCCCAGUCCGCGCGGCUGUGGGUCGUGGUGCGCAACAACCAGAUCUCGGGCUACUUCCGCGACCUGGACCAGGAGAUCGCCACGCUCCUCGACGUGCUCCCCCUCGGCGCCCUCCGCCUCUCCGCCGACGUGCGCGAGCAGCUCGAGCUCCUCCGGAGGCAGUGCCACGACUCCGAUCUCCGCGCCGACCCCCGCGGCGAGGAGCUCCGCCGCAGCAUCUUCUCCCUCCUCGACGAAUUCGCGCGGGGCGACGCCCCCGACCCCGACGAUCUCCGCUCGCUCUUCGUCGACCAGUUAGGGGUUCGGGACGCCGAUGCGUGCCGCAGCGAGAUCGAGUUCUUGGAGGAGCAGAUUCUUAAUUCUGAGGAGGACACCGAUUUGCCCCUCCUCGGCGGUGCCGUCGCUCUCGCCCGGUAUUGUAGGUUCCUGCUCUUCGGCUUCGGCGAGCCGAAGAUCAAGCCUUCGGGCGAUGACUCCGUGAAACUGAAGACGACGACGAGGUUGCUCAGCAGUGGCGGCGAUUCGUCCUUCGCCAUACCGAAGGACUUGUGCUGCCCGAUCUCGCUCGAUCUGAUGAGGGAUCCGGUGGUCGUCUCCACCGGUCAGACUUAUGAUCGUGCUUCGAUUAUUCAAUGGAUGGAUGAAGGCCACUACACUUGCCCUAAUUCCGGCCAGAUUCUCACGCAUACUCGCCUCGUUCCUAAUCGAGCCCUCCGCAGCUUGAUUGCUCAGUGGUGCGCCGCCUAUGGAAUACCUUACGAAUCUCACGACGGCACCGAGGGAUCAGCUGAGAGCAUCGCCGCUGCGUGCAGUAGUAAGGCCUCGAUCGAAAUGAAUAGACUGACCUCUCGGAUGUUGGUUCGCCAACUGUUCGAUGGAACGGAUGAGCUGAAAGCCAUUGCUGCGCGUGAGAUCAGAUUGCUGGCCAAGACAGGAAGGGAGAAUAGGGCUUCAAUUGCCGAAUUAGGUGCCAUCCCUCCCCUUUGCCGCUUACUCCGAUCUUCGAACUCCGUCGCGCAAGAGAACGCGGUGACCGCGCUCCUCAACUUGUCGAUAUAUGAUGUGAACAAGAGCCGAAUUAUUGAAGAGGAAGGGUGCUUGAAUCUAAUCGUCUAUGUUUUGAAGAACGGUUGGACGGUGGAGGCGAGGGAGAAUGCUGCCGCCACGCUGUUUAGUUUGUCAGUGGUUCACGAGUACAAGAAAAGGAUCGUCGAAGAGCCGGGUGCGGUAGAAUCACUGGCUAAUUUAUUAAAGGAAGGCACUACGAGAGGGAGGAAGGAUGCAGUAAUGGCUCUCUUCAAUCUUUCCACCCACCCUGAGUGCUGGGUCGGUUUGUUGGAAUUCGGGGCAGUUACUGUGUUGGCCGGGGCACUUGAAAAUGAGUUGGUGGCCGAGGAGGCGGCGGGGGCACUGGCGCUGCUAUUAAAGCAGCAGAGGGUGGCCAAGGCAGUGGUUUCCGUGGACAGGUCGGUGACAAGCCUCGUGGGACUAAUGAGGAGGGGGAGUCCAAAGGGAAAGGAGAACGCGGUGGCAGCUUUGCACGAAUUGUGCCGCCGCGGUGGGUCAAUGAUGAUUCGCAGGGUGGCGCGAAUGCCAGGGUUUUGUGGGCUGCUGCAGAACAUCUUCCUUACAGGAACAAAAAGGGCGAAGCGGAAGGCGGCAUUGCUCACUAAAAUGUGCCAGAAGUGUGAGGCACCGACAAUGAUGUUGUUAGGUAGUAGUUGGGUGAUUGACCAAACGCUAGCAAGAAAUAGUUCCUUGAGAAGGGUUUCGAGCUUUGAGAGCGGGGAAUUGACGGUUUCGACAGCCAUAUCAGUGCCGGUGCCAUAGGUCUGGUCUGUUCUGUUCUCUCAAAAUUUUUAAGCAGUAAGUAUGUCUUGAAUUCUUUGAUUUGUGCUCGGUGAAAGGGGUAUAGAAUUAUAAAUAUGAAUCCAAAUGAAUGAAUACUUUGCUAUUUUGUUGGACAUUCUGUUUUAAAUGUAUAUACAUGCACAUAAUUAGAUGUCUAAGUUGAAGUUUGGCUUGAAGUUGUUUUAAGAGUCUGUGGUAACUUUGAUAUGAAUAUAUAUAUAUAUAUAUAUAUAUAUAUAUAUAUGUAUGAGGCGGCGACUGAAUGUAUGUCAGGGAGCCUAUGUCAGGUUCUAGACAUCAUCUACUUUUCAGCAGAGACUGGUUUUUUGUUCUUUGUUUUUAUUUAUAUUGUUGAUUUCUCUCCAAAAUUUCGUUGUUUUGAUUAGACAGUAUUCUGGAUGAGGCUUGAUUAAUGUGGUUUAAGCUUACGGAUGAUUACACAAAUGUCAAUUUCACUUUCCAUGUAAAAUUUUACAUAUUGAUGUUUGGUUGUUAGGAAAAAAUCUUUCACGUGUUCUAUGAAAAUCCCAAGUUUUCAUUUUCCGCUCGCAGCGAGCGGAAAACGAAAACCAUCGCGGCUCAGGAGGCUUCUUUGUGCGCGGUCCACGAGGUGCNAGAGAGAGAGAGAGAGAGAGAGAGAGAGAGAGAGAGAGAGAGAGAGAGAGAGAGAGAGAGAGAGAGAGAGAGAGAGAGAGAGAGAGAGAGAGAGAGAGAGAGAGAGAGAGAGAGAGAGAGAGAGAGAGAGAGAGAGAGAGAGAGAGAGAGAGAGAGAGAGAGAGAGAGAGAGAGAGAGAGAGAGAGAGAGAGAGAGAGAGAGAGAGAGAGAGAGAGAGAGAGAGAGAGAGAGAGAGAGAGAGAGAGAGAGAGAGAGAGAGAGGGGAGAGUGAGGCUACUUUGCUUCUAAGUUGUUUUCGAUAUUGCGACUUUCGAAUAGUUGGUCGGCUCCGUUAAACUUGAUCUAGAGUAUUUGAAGUACCUUAAAAAAUAAAUUUUAUGAUUUUUCAAUAUCAUUUGCCUAGUGAUCGAAAGGGCUCAAAAUCAAUAAUUUUAAUGGCCGUAGUGAGCCGUUUGUAAGUUUAACGAUGUAGAAAUAUCCAAAUCACGUGAAAUUUUGAUAAAAAAUUCUUUAUACUAUAUAAAACAAGAUCAAUAUCUUUAAUCUAAAAUUUUAAUAUCAUAUUAUCACGUUUUGUAAAAUUUUUAUUUUCAGCCGUUGAUUUUGAGCCCCUUCGUUCACUAGGCAAAUAAUAUCGAAAAAUCGCAUAAUUUAUUUUUUAGGUACUUCAAAUACUCUAGAUCAAAUUUAACGGAACCGAUCUACAAUUCGAAAGUCGCAACAUCAAAAACGACCUGGAAGCACAGAAGGCUCCGUGCUUCCAGAAGCAUAAUACUCUCUCUCUCUCUCUCUCUCUCUCUCUCUCUCUCUCUCUCUAUAUAUAUAUACAUAUAUAUAUAUAUAUAAGUUGAGCUAGGAUACUUUUAGAAGCACCACCCACUUGGUGCUUCUAAGUUUCUAACCCUUGGAUCCACUCCAUAAUUACUAAUAUCCCUUGGAUCAAACACUAUUCCACCUACCACCACCUACCACCAUCAUCUCAACCUCACAUCUCUCUAUCCAAGGGCUAAAAACUUUAAAGCACCACCCACUUGGUACUUCUAAAAAUAUUCUACCUCCACUCAUAUAUAUAUAUAUAGUAUUUUAUUUUUGAUUUUAUAAAUAUAUUUAUUUUAUAAUAUUUUAUUUAUAAAUAUUAUUUAUAAAUAUCUAGUAAUUUAUUUUUUUAGUAUUAAAUAUAUAUUAUUAUAUAUUAUAUUAUAUAUUUAAUUAAUGUAUAAUAUAUUUUAAAUAUUUUUUAUAAGUAUAAAUUAUAAUAUCAAUAUAUGUAAUAUGAUCAUAAGUUGAGCUAGAAUACUCUCAAAAGCACCAAGGGGGUGGUGCUUUUGAAUUUUUAACCAUUGGAUGGAGAGAUGUAGGGUUGAGAUGAUGGUGGUAGAUGGUGGUAAGUGAAAUAGUGUUUGAUCCAAGAAGUAUUAAUAAUUAAAGAGUAGAUCCAAGGGCUAGAAACUUAGAGCGUGUUUGGUUCGAAGUCGGAAUCGGAAUCGGAAUCGAAAUAAACUGGAAUAGGAAUCGGAAUGACUCAUUAUCUAAUUCUUGGUUUAUCACCUGAAUCGGAAUCAGAAUAAAUCAUUUUCAUUGUCAGUGUUUGUUUCAGAUAAAUAUAAAAAACGUAAUCAGAUUAAUAUAUUAACUUUAUCUUUAUAAUAUAUUAAUUUAAAUGCAAACCAAAAAUUAAAUAUUAAAAUUUUACAUCAAAAUUUUGAAAUAAUAUCAAAAUUUUAAAUCUAUGUUUUUUUAAAAAAAAUUAAACUUCGAAGUUGAGUGGAUAAUUCGAAAUAUAAAACUAAAUUUCGAUUUAUUCAAAUUCAAAUUAAAAUUUAGAUUGUGAUUUUAAGUUUGAAUUUAAAUAAAUCAAAAUUUAGUUUCAUAUUUUAAAUUAUCCACUCAACUUUAAAGUUUAUUUUUUUAAAAAAAAUGGAUUUAAAAUUUUGACAUUAUUUCAAAAUUUUGAUGUAAUUUUUUAAUAUUUAAUAUUUAAUUUAAAUUUAAAUUCAUAUAUUAUAAAGAUAANUAUUAUAUAUUUAAUUAAUGUAUAAUAUAUUUUAAAUAUUUUUUAUAAGUAUAAAUUAUAAUAUCAAUAUAUGUAAUAUGAUCAUAAGUUGAGCUAGAAUACUCUCAAAAGCACCAAGGGGGUGGUGCUUUUGAAUUUUUAACCAUUGGAUGGAGAGAUGUAGGGUUGAGAUGAUGGUGGUAGAUGGUGGUAAGUGAAAUAGUGUUUGAUCCAAGAAGUAUUAAUAAUUAAAGAGUAGAUCCAAGGGCUAGAAACUUAGAGCGUGUUUGGUUCGAAGUCGGAAUCGGAAUCGGAAUCGAAAUAAACUGGAAUAGGAAUCGGAAUGACUCAUUAUCUAAUUCUUGGUUUAUCACCUGAAUCGGAAUCAGAAUAAAUCAUUUUCAUUGUCAGUGUUUGUUUCAGAUAAAUAUAAAAAACGUAAUCAGAUUAAUAUAUUAACUCUAUCUUUAUAAUAUAUUAAUUUAAAUUUAAAUUAAAUAUUAAAUAUUAAAGUUUUACAUCAAAAUUUUGAAAUGAUGUCAAAAUUUUAAAUUUAUUUUUUAAAAAAAAUUAAACUUUGAAGAGAGUGGAUAAUUCGAAAUAUAAAACUAAAUUUCGAUUUAUUCAAAUUCAAACUUAAAAUUACAAUUUAAAUUUUAAUUUGAAUCAAUAAAUUUAAUUUAAGUUUUAAAUAAAAUUUGAAUAAAACUUUAUAUAAAUUAAAAUUUAAUUUAAAUUCAAAUUCAUAAGUUAGAUUCGAAAUACUUGAUUAAAUUUUAAUUUUUAAUUCAAGUUCAAAUUAAAAUUUAAAUUUUAAAAUUAAAAUUCUAAAUUUAAACUCAUAUUUUAAUUAAAAAAAUUGAAAAAAUAAAUUUAAUCCGAAGAAAUAUCCAUUCCGUCCGGAUUCAACUUUCAAUCCGGCCUCUUAGGCCGGAUUGAAAAAAGGGGUGAUUGGAAAAUCCCCGUUCCACUCGGGAGUCGGAAUCAGAAUGGAACUCCUGCAUACCAAACACUUACAAACGGAUUAAUCCAUUCCGAUUCCGAUUCUAGGGUGAAAAAGAAGCGAACCAAACACGCCCUUAAAAGUAUCAAAAGGUUGAUGCUUUUAGAAAUAUUCCAGCUCAAUUCAUAUGAUCAUUAUUAUAUAUCAAUAAUAUAUAUAUAUAUAUAUAUAUAUAUAAUAAUUUUUAUUUAUAAAUUUUUUUUCCUUUCAACAAACAACUAAACAACCAUAACAAAAAAAUACUUCUUUUUUUUUUUUAUAAACCAAACGCUAGAGAGCGUAAAAUUUAUUUUCCUCCAAAAAAAUUUUUUCCACGAAAUUUUUUUUUUCACAGUUUUACAUCAAACCAAACAGGCCCUUAGCCUUUGCGACUUCUUCCUCGUUCACGUUUUUAGGUGUUAUCAUAUGACAAGUAGAUAUCAUGCAUUCUCAGAUCACGCUCUAUUUGAUAAUCACAGUGGAACUGUUAGCAGUUGUCGGUAUAAGUACGACCAUACAAUAUCACAAUUUCAUAAUAUUUUUGUCAUGCAAAAACAAACAUUGAGUCGCCAUGGAUAUGCUGCACGAUUUGUUAUAAUAAUAAUCAUCAUUAAGAUCUCACUGGAGAACAAGAUUAUCUCAAACAGUGUCGACUGUCGACUUACAGCAGAUUCUCUAUUUCCCGCAAGCCAAAGCUCCAACCUCUUUAUGGCAGCACCUCACACACACCCCCACAAAAUUUUCCAGUGCCGCACAUUAAUUAUGACUGCUGAAGCUAUGGAAGAUACUUCAUACAGAUACACUCAGAUUUUCCUGAAGAAGGACAAGAUGUUCCCUUGCUUGGGAUCCUUCCCGCCCGCCUUUGCUGGCUUCUUGUUACCAGCAGUCUUGCUCGGCAGAUUACUGCUCACAGCUGCCUGCCGUUUAUUAGCGGCCGUAGGCCUGAUAAUGACAGUUUGUGAAAGAUGUAAAUUAUAGUGAUAGUUCAACAAAUUGAAAGAGAGAUAUUGCUACGUAGUAGUAAAAAACAUAAGGUAAUUACUCGGUGAAAUCUGAUUUCACCUGUUUAAACUUUUUCAUUCCAAAGGACAAUUAAAGCCUUUCAAAUAUGAUGUUAUAGGUUCAGGAUGUUGAGAUGGUGCCGUCAUGAGAGAUAGAAACAAGGUAAUUUCUCCUUAAGAAAAGAAAAGGUGAACUUACGAAGUUUAGUUUAUCCAAAUGACUCAAAAUAGAGUAAAAUAAUAUGUAGCACAGCAAACAUAAUUAGACCACAAGUUGAUUAUCACAUAUACUUCUCUGUCCUGCUCCUAUCUAUUAACAUCUGAGAAAAAUUAAAUUUUUGGCAGAAAAUUUCGUAUUAAGGAUUGGUAACUGGAAAUUUAAAUGGAUUUGCUGAAUACGUUUAUAAAUUUGCUUUCUAAGAUAAGAGGCGAUACAUGUCAGCAGCAUAUAAAGAUAUCCUCAAAUUACAUAUUGCAUUUCUCAACAAGUACCUGUUCCCAGCAUUAUCGGUUGCAGUAUGCUUAUCUGUUUUCUCGCUUGGAGCUAAUUCACCCUCCCAAACAACCUCGGUUACUGAAAUAAUUCAGAUUCAUAACACCAGAAAUGUUUAGAUAGAGGCAGAAAAUAACAGAAUAGAAUGCAGAAGCUUGUUACUCCAAUAAAUGGGGCUGAACAUGUGUUACAAAACACAAACAGUUAAAUGGCCUAAGCUUCACGAGGUGGCAAGAAACGACCACCCAAAUCAAUAUGCAGGUCUAGUACCUAGAGCAAGCAACUGGUCAAACAAAAGGAUAAUUUGCUCAAGUUUCUCUUCACUCUUUCAGAUAACUAGCAGCAGUAAGAAGAAUCCAGCAUUUUGCACAGAGAUAAAGAGGAAAGCAUCUAUCACCCCAAAAAGACAAGCAAUAUAUUUAAGCACCAUACAAAAACCAGAACCAACAAAUCCAUAAAAUACUUUAUUUUAUCAUGAAGAACACAGAUAUCUACAAGCUAAAUUCAAGUUCGCACUCCAACUCAUAGUGGUCCAUGACUUGGCACAAAAAAGAACACUUCCAGUAUAGAUUUCCUGGACAUUGUUAACAAACUAUCUUUCGAUAACUGAUGCUAGACAUGAAAAAGGUAGUAUUCAGCAGACAAGUAAAAUAAAGUUCAGAUGACAGAAGAAGGGUACCUCAUACUGUUCUCUUAUACCAAAUAUCAACUAGUAAGCAAUAUCUAUAUUCUUAAACAUCCUAAAACAACAUAUUGUGGAAUGAAUGAUUCCUUAAAAAGAUACUGUUGAAUGACUGCACGCUUCAUAUAAAAUUGCUUUAAUGAAUGCUAAAUUGUAAUCACCAAUUCACCAUUGAAAUACUUAAACGAUAUCAUGCCCACACCAAAUGUAGUAUAUCAUUUUGCAUCCUAUGAGCUCAAGGUUCUUGUACGCAAUAAGAUAGAAUUACAUGCUUUUGUGGGCAGUCAUGAAAGUUCCUUGAGGGAAAUAUCCACAGUGGAAAGAAUACAGGCCUGAGCAAGGAACACCACUGACAAGCAUUCCUUAGACAAUUGAAGAGGUAAGUAUGAUAAAGUAACUGAUCAUGAAAAAAGAGUAUAAUAAAGCACCUUCUCUUCCUCGCUCAUCAAUCCGUGUCUUCAACACUUUCCUCCUCUUGGGUGAGGCAGAAGCAGCAUUGGUGGUCUGAUCUGUAUUAUUUUCAUUUGCAUUUGGUUCUGAGUUGUCACUCUGAUUCUUCAAUUUUAAGGUAAUGCCUCCAUUGCUACUAUUGCCCCCACUACUCAUGUUAGCUUUUGAUGACAAGUCUGAAUUCAGGCCCUUAACAUUCUCUUGCCUUUUCUCCAGAGUCUCUCUUUUCUGUGCUAAACUUGUUUCCUUCAGAGUCAAGUUCUCAGCAUUAGUCGAGGCAGCUGCUACAUGCUUUUUAGGAGAAUCUGGAGAUGCAAGGCUAACUACAUUUUCCUCAUCAUCAUCAUCUGAAAAAUCAAAAACAACCCUCCUCUUUCUACCACUUGCAUGAUUUGAUUCCCUCCUCAAAUUCGCAUCAUGUUCAUCAUCACUGCUAGCAGCAUUUGCUGCUUCUUUUGCACGUAUUUGAGCUUCAGCUGUCACUGAAUAUAGCAGUAGGCAAAAACAGGAAGAAAAUCAGCAAGUAUAUAACAAGCUAGCUUUAGAUUUGCAUAGAAACCACUUCAUAUUCAAUCAAAACAGAAUAGUACAAGGCAGGAUAUGGCAACACCACUUUGUUUACCAGAAACACUGGGAAUAUCAUUAGUAGUUUCUGUAGCAGAAUUUGGUGGCUUUGAUUUUGCUGAUGCACGACCCCACAGACUAGCUAGCGAUCCAGUAUUUCCUAAUGAGUCCUUCCCGUUUUGGUCUUUUUGCUUGCUAGUCAGAACAGCAACAGUUGGUUCUUUAACAGGAGGCAGCUUAUUUGCUGUGUUAAUAUUUGCUGAAGUGGCGAUAUCACUUUUGUCAGUUGACUCAUGCUUUGAACUCGAUUGUCCUGAUAGUCCUUGUUGUGGAGGUUGAACAUGAACAGUCUGGUCUUUUAGAAUACUACUAGAUUUAGAUUGCCAAGCUGCUCCUGUAGCUAUCACAGGCUUUGGUGGGGUGGGGCUGACGUGUUUCCCAUUGACAGUACGCUUGACAAAGGAAUUUGAAACACCACAAAACCUAAAUUAAGAUUCCACAGAGAUCAAUAAAGCGGAGAUGAAACUAUGAUAAAGCUAACAAUACGUUCAAUGACAUGGAGGAGUUUUUGCACAUAAGCCCUUGCCUAUUUAUUUUUAAACCCAAAAUCACAUCAUAUUCUUCCAAUGGUCAGAUUUUCAACUUGGCGACAUCACCAAAUUAGAAUUGAACCAUCAUACUUCUUUAACUAAGUUCUUUCAAGUAUUUUAUGUACAUUUCACAAAGAUUAAUCUAAAAAUCAAGAUAGACCGACCGUACACAAUAUUGGAGUGAAUUUAUGGCUGCAGGUUUUUAAAUUUCAGAAGUUUCUAGGUGUUCUGAUUUCACCUACACUUAAAAAUAAAUUCAAAGAAGGCAUAACUAGAAUGCCUAUAUCAGAAGAACAAGACCUACUUUAGGUUUAUAUACAGAAAUUUGGAAUUUCCAAUGAGAAUAUGUACGUAUGAGGGUUAUAUAUGCUAUAAGUGCAAAAUGCACAUACAUUUGUAAAUAUCAAAGUGCUAUGAAAAACCUAUUGACUAUAGGUUUUCUAUAAUAAAUAACUAAACAAGAGAGGAAUAAUUUACCUAUUAUCCCUCAAGCAAUUUUCUUCAUUCGAGGGCUCAUUAAAGAGCUCUUCUGCUUGCACAAACUCCGCACUCCAAAGCACUGCAACAUCCUUUGGGAUGCAAGCCUGGACGCUAUAAACCUGAAUUGAACAGGUAUCUUUAAAUUCCUUCCUCACAUCUGCAAGCAAAUAAAGAGUUCAAUAUCUCAGAAGAUUAUAAGUGACAUGCUAUGCUAACCCACAAUCGCAGCGCAAAACAUCAAUAAGGGUUGGAUUUCCAUUCAUGUAGCUUGACUUCCAUUUCACUUUUUAUAUACUUUUCCUCUCACUUUUGCAUCGAAGUUGCUAGGAAUUCAAAUUUUGUAUUGUUUUGUUAAACAUAUAAGAUUACACUUUUCUCUCCAUAGCUUUUGUUAAAGAGAAUCGGUGUUAUUGAACAAUAUGAAAAUGCAAUCUUUUCUAAAUACAAUAAACAAUGUCAAUUCUUAGACCAUGAACAAUGCCAAUAAGUACAAUAUAAGGAACAAUAUUAACUAGCACAGAUACUAAUAUCCAAUUUAUUUUGACUUGGCCCCAUUAGGAGCAGUACAUGUGCUCCCAAUUGCAAAUUCACCUGGCCAAAAUCCGAAGAAGCAAGUUCCAUAUAAGAGUGAAAGAAAAAAACUUGCCAAUCAAAGGUGAUAGCAAUCAACCAGUUCAAGAGGACAUCCUUCUUUUCUUUUCUUCUUAUUAUGCUUAAGGAAAAAAGAAAGCCUAUAAGGAAAUUCAAAUUAUGGAGCCACGAAUGAAGAAUGUUCUAGAAGCUAGACUAGAAAUGAGAGAUGCCUUGUGUUGAAGUUGUUCUCACAAGUUCAUAUUACCCUCAAGUUUAAGACCUGAAGCAAGCUUGACACAGUAGGUUUGAGGGUUGCUCUUUAACCAUCCAGACAAUGUGUAUAUCACUUCUAACUCUUCCCCAUGUUUCUUAACGAAUUCCUGAAGCAGCCUGAAAGCAAUGACUGAGGAAAUUACUGACCAUAUUACAUACAACAACAUCUAGAGUGUGAAAAAUAAAAAAAAUGUGUACCCCUUGGCGCAAUUUGAGGAAAUUGAAAAGUUGCGACUGAGCCACUUAUACGUAAUCUGCAACAUAAUGGCGAAAGCUUAGAGCAAAACACAGGAAAUCAAAUCAAAUUCACUGGUUACUGAAGGCAAAUAGAUAACAUCUACAGCAUUAAGGAAAGAUCGAGGAGCCAAGGUCUUCACAUUAAUUGCCUACAGGCGUCCACCGCAAGAAGAAUAAAAAGUGAAGUCACAGUAAUAACAACAGAAAGUCACACAGUAUACAAGUAAGGAGUGAAAGACAUUAUAAGGUUCUUUCCUGAUCACAGGAUAUUAAAACAUGCAAAAUUUCUCCUUUCAACUUGAAAACAUGUCGUUCAACCAACCAGAUUCCGCUUGCCAGCUGAAUUGACAAUAAUAAGCCGUUCGAAGGCAAAGAAACCUUAACAGAAAUCUAAAAUUUUGGAAUAAAGAACAAUUACGAAGAACAAUGCUGCGAAUCCAAUUCUCAUACUAGCAAGUCAUCACGAACACGAUUCCCAUCUCACUCCCCAAACAGAAUCCUAAUAUUCCAUUUUAGAAUCACUUCAAUAUCCCUAAAAUUGCAUGAAUCAAACCCUAAUUCUUCAAAUACACAUUCCUAUGCAUAGGAUUAUACACAAGAAUAGGACCAUAAAUCAUAGAAUACGAAUCAAAAUCAAGGAAAUAUCAACUAGAAACCUCCUGUAACAGGGAUCAACUCACCACUUGGAGUCGAUCGGAGGCGAGGGAGAGGAUCUGGGGUAGAAGAUCGAGAUCUACACCUUCCGCCAUGGAUUAGGGCAACAAAGGUCGGGAUCUGAGCCCCGAUCGAAGAGAGGAGGGCGGGGCGCGGGAAAGAUGGGGAGAAAUUUCGAGCGGAGAGGGCUUCGUUUCCCGCCUUUUUCUUCGGUGCCCUUAGCCUUUUUUGCUGGGGCCUUUUAUGGUGGCGUUCUCGCACGAGUGCGAGGGUAUCGUCGCUUCGAUCGAGGGGGGCGAGGGGCGUCCUAAGAGCACGCACGAAUAUCGGCACGGUGCGUGCGAGUCCGAAACGUGUGGCGUACUACGUGGACUUGGGCUAGCUCGUUGGUGCAUGUGGGCCGGAGGGAGGCCCAAUAAGUAGGAUAAGCCCAUGUAAAUUUAUUUUUCUCAGGAAAAAAAAAAAAACAAUUCAUUUAUAACUUCAAAAUCUCUAGGGCCUGUUUGGAUUUCCUUCCCUUUCUUCUUUUUUGAAUCUUGGGCAUAUUUGGAUUUUAGAUUUUAGAUUUGUGGAUAUCUGCAUAUUUUUGUAAGUUCUUAUUUGUAAGGAAAAUAAGCGAGCCAAUUAAUUCCUCCGAGCCGAUCAUUAGCAACAAAAACUUGAGAUAUGAAUCAGAAAAUAUGGAGUUGACAAGUCAUCUCGAAAUACAUCUUUACCAACAUAUUGUACAUCAUCGUUUCUGUUUUAUCAGGUGCUCUCCCUACAAUAACUUCCAUUAUAUCCCUUAACGGGGCAAUGGAAAGAUGUGACUUCAUCGCCUUGUUCAUUGUUCAAAUUUUACACCUAAAAAUGUUUUAACACAAGACAUGUUUGAUUUUGACCCUAUUUUAAACUCCGCUCGGCAUAUAAAUCAUACAAAUUCAGAAUGAGAAUUUGAACUAAUCAAUUUAAUCAAAACCUAGAACCGAGAGGGUGCAGUACAAUUUUCUUUUAUUUUUCUUUUUGGAUAAAGUUGUGCUGCCUCAGCCCUAUAAGUUCCAUUAAAGGUUAUAAGAAUUUGCAGAGGUGGCUAAUAGCUGAGCCUAGUAGUAUGUAUUAAAGCUGGAGUAUAGAUACAAAUCAAAAGCGGUUACAUUACAUCGUGCAUUAUAUAUGAACGCCACGAAACAACAAUUACGAGACCAUACAGAUCAGGUUGUCACCUAGGUCCUGAUAAAACUGAUGCAGAAGGCACAAACAAAGAAUCCAAAGUAUCAUCUUUGCUAGACAUUGCUGUACUAGUAGCUACGAAAUUGUAUGCAAGACUAGUUUCUACACCCACCGUGCCUUCCAAAACCCUCACUACUGUAGACAUCGGAGGCCUUACGCUACUAUCGAUUUGCAGGCACCACAUCGCAAGCUUGAUCAUUUCAAUCACUUCUCCCUCAUUCAAUUUUAUAUCGUCGUCGUAACAAUCGACUACAUCUAGCAACCGAUUGGCUUUAACUUUCUCUUGCAAUAAGCUAAUCAGAUGAACACUCUCUUCGGGCUGAGAGUAAUCCAAGUUCUUUCUCCCGCACACAAUCUCCAUUAUAACAACACCAAAGCUAUAGAUAUCAACCUUUUCUGUUAUUUUCAAAGUCAACCAUUCUGGCGCUAAGUACCCCGGCGUGCCUCUUAUUCGAGUCAUUACUUGGCUUUGAUCUCUAUCUAUGAGUUUCGAUAGUCCAAAAUCGGAAACCUUAGCAUUGAGCUUUUUGUCUAAGAGAAUAUUUUGCGGCUUGAUGUCUAAGUGGGCAAUCUUUUGCCUGCACUCUUCGUGAAGAUACGAAAGACCCCUUGCUAUGUCUAAGAUAAUUUUCCGCCGCGUAUGCCAAUCAAGAACGGGAGUUCGAUUCGCACUAAAGAUCCAUUUAUCAAGCGAGCCGUUGCACAUGAAUUCGUAAACAAGAAGCCUAUGCGUUCGCUCCACGCAGAAUCCAACCAGUUUUACAAGAUUAAGGUGGUGAAUACUACCGAUCGUCUCGACCUCAGCUAAAAAUUCUUUCUUUCCUUGACCGAUCCAAUCCAAACGCUUCACGGCAAUCUUUUCGUCGCCUAUUUUCCCCUCAAAAACCGACCCAAAUCCUCCUUCUCCGAGCUUCUUGGAGAAGUUCCCUGUAGCCUCUUUCAAUUCUUUGUAUGAAAACCGUUUCGGCAUUCCUGGGACUAGAUCGAAAAGUUCCCCAUCCUCUUCCGCUCUCUUCCAUCUCCUUACCCCAAACACAAUUACAAUGAUAACAAACGCUAAGGAAACUCCAACUCCUAGAAUAACAACUACUGGAACUCCUGCAUCAAUGUCCUUCGUAAUUGGAGGCGGGCUUUUCGCAGGAGCAGAAGCAGGGGAUAAGGGGAUUCUCUGCACCUUAACAUGCGCAGAAGAACUGUAAUAACUUAUCGCCAGUUGAUUCGUCUGCAACGAGAAAAUCUCCGAGGGCAAGAAGCAGUUCCCAUCAGAAGCAUUUCCCCCACCGAACUGAAAAAACGCGGCUUUACACGAACAAUUCCUCAAACAAGCCGUCCUGCAACUCUCUUCACUGAUACUCCGAAACGCGGUCGCAUCGGUGUCGAUGUAAUUGAAAUAAGAGACAUUAUUGAGAGUUAACAAAUCAUGAUCAUGUGAAAAUUCACAAGAUAAAGGAGUCAACGGCUCACAACCGAGCUUAGCUUCCCGGUCGUUGACUUGCCGGAAAUAGUCCGUCGAAGGGCAGCUGCAUUGUUUACCCUUCGUGCAAACGCCGUAAUCGCCGCACACCGUCGGAUACGCGCAGUCGUCAGGGUACACUUCGAGCAGGUCCUUCACCAUCCUCCACCCGGCGGCGCUCCAGUCGUAGAGCCUCAAGUGCCCGUCGGACUCGAAUCUCAUGUACUGAGCCGACUCCGCCGGGGUUAGCGGAAUCGUUAUGUCGGGCUUGCCGGGUUGCUUGAAGGAAACAAAGACUGAUAGGCUGCCGUUCGUGAAGGUAACAUACGUCGGCUUGCUCCCGGCUUUCACUGUGGUGAUGCCUUUCCGGUAGUAGAGCUGCGGCGGAUCGGAGUCGACGUAGGCGCGGAGACCGUCGGGGAAGACGGUGAGGUAGAAUCUGCUUCUGGUGUAAUUCGCGGCGGAGACGUCGGCAGUGAGUCGCAUCCCUUCGGAAAGUGACUGGCCGAUGACGAGCGUGUCGGUGGGGUGGUCGAAGGACUGCCAGACGGAAGCGUUGGCGCGAUCAAAGAGCAGUAAGUUUCCCGCUUCCGUGAGGUUUAGACCCGCCGCGUGUUUGUUCGACGUGUUCGUGGACCACACGAGGGUGUCAUCGACGUCGCGGAGAACUAAGUCGCCGGUUUCGGUGAGCUGGAGCGUGGCGUUGUCGCCGACGGGGCGGUCGCGGUUGGCUGUCCAGACGACCUGCGGGGAUGCGAUAGCAGAGUUGGUGAUAAAGCUGCCGUCAUGGCUGUGCACGAUGAAUAUGGAGAAGACGAAUGCGUCGCAAGAGGCGACGCGGAAGAAGCCGCAGGCGAAGGAUGGGCCGAAUCCGGAGGGGUCGAUGCGGAGAAGGAUGGCGCGGACGGAGGCGCCGUCGGGGAAGGCGACGCUUUGGCGGAGGAUGGAAGGGUUGUUGGUCCACACGGUGGAGAGGCCGGCGGUGGGGUAGUCGCAGGGAUUGGCAUGCGGGCGGAGAAAGCUGAGGAGAAAGCAGGAGGCGAUCGCAAGGAGGGAGAGGCAGCGGCGCCGGAGAAGCCUCAUGGUAGUUCUCAACUGGUGGGGAAAAUGGAGCAACGAUCGAGCUGAUCUGUAAAACGGUUAUUACCUGUUCUAGCUCGGUGAUUUAUACAGUUUUUUUUUUUUUUUUUUUUUUUUUUGACAUUACUCUACAGCAGCUAUUGAUUCAUCAUUAUAUAUUUUAGGGUACAGUUCAAAUAUUAUUUAUGUAGUUUUAUAUUUUUCUUAAUUUAGUACAAUAUGAUUUAAAGUGUAUCAAGUUAGUAUUUUUUUUUUCAGCUUCUCCGUUAAUAUUUUAUUAAAUUAUAUACAAAAAUCUUGAGAUACUCUAUUUAGAUUUAUCGAAUAUUCAUUGUAGUACCAUUUAGUUUUAAUAUUAUUACUGAUUUAAUAAAAAAAAUUAAUAAAAUUAAUAAUAAAAAAUAAAAUUAUAAUUAUAAUUAUAAAAUAUUAAAUUGAUACACUUUAAAUUAAAUUAUAGAAUACUAAAAUAAAAAAAUAUAAAAUCACGUAGAUAGUACUUAAAAUUUUUUUAUAUUUUUGUUUUUUUUUGUUUUUUUUUUUUUUUGAGAAUGAGGUAGCAAGCUACCCGCUUCAUUCAUCAAGCGAAAUGAACUAGGCUUACAUAUUGGAAGCAGCCAGGGCCUCCUAAAAAAAGCAAAAAAGAAGAAGGAAAAGGAGAAGAAAGGAAACAAGAGCGAAUGUAGAAAGUAUAGGUCGAACAAGUGAGACUUUAAAAUAUAGAAGUCCAAGCAAUCAUCAAGUUAGAUACGCGCUCAAGAGCCCUGGUAGCAUUAGGGAGGUACUCACGGAAAAUAGUGUCGUUGCGUUCCGUCCAGAUGACCCACCAGAUUGCCGCCAAGUAGGUUAGACGUUGCAUUCUGAUUGUAGCGUCCGGAGUAUUAGAGGUACGUGUGAAAGAUACAGUGAAAUGGACUGUAAAUAAUAAGAUAAUAUGCGUGGUGAUGUACUGAUUUUUCUGUGCAAGCAAUAGUCUCCGUUGGGGUUGUAUGAUACUAUGAUGUACGGGGCAGGUAAAAUGAGGAAAAAGUCUAAACAGCGACGGACCCGGUCUUAGAUGAUCAAGUUCUGAUGUGUGGCAGACCCGGUCUACGUUGAAUAAAUAUAUUACUUAUUUAUAUCUCUCUCAUUACUCCCUUUUCAUUUUCGCCGGUCAUUUCUUACUGGGUAUGUUACAUUUUUUAUCCUCUAACUAUGGCUCACGGGACAUUUUGAUCAUCAAGCUUUAACUUAUUUUAAUUUAUAAUUUUAAAUUUUAAUUAUUAUAAUAAAAUUUUAUGAUAUAAUUUAGUUGGAUAAAUAUUAAUAAAUUAUUAACAUAUAAAUGAUGUGUAAAAAAUAGAAUCAAUAAUACGAUAGUUAAAAAAAUAUUAUAUUACUUCUACAUUAAUAAUUUAUUAAUAUUUAACCAAUCAUAUUAGCUUGCGAGACUUUAUUAUAAUAAUUUAAAUUUUUAAAUCACAAAUUACAAUAAAUUAGUUUGAAAACAAAAAUGUUAGGUGUCUUGUAGUUUAAGGAUGGAAAGCAUAAUUUAGCUUUUUCUUUAUCAAUAUUAUUCACUACACUAGAAAAUGAAGGUAAAUCAUACAUCUUAUCCCAUCAACAGGUGAAGUUUUUGAGUGAGUCAUACAUCNUAUAAUAAUUUAAAUUUUUAAAUCACAAAUUACAAUAAAUUAGUUUGAAAACAAAAAUGUUAGGUGUCUUGUAGUUUAAGGAUGGAAAGCAUAAUUUAGCUUUUUCUUUAUCAAUAUUAUUCACUACACUAGAAAAUGAAGGUAAAUCAUACAUCUUAUCCCAUCAACAGGUGAAGUUUUUGAGUGAGUCAUACAUCUUAUCCCAUCAACAGGUGAAGUUUUUCGGUGAGGAGUACAAGUAUCAAUUUUGUGAUAUUUGUAUAGUUUUUUAUUUUAAUUUCUAUUUGUCUUUUUUAUUUUGGUUGCCUUUUAUGUUUUCUAAGACCGCGUUGUCUCAAGCACUAUAGCUAAAUUUAUCUGAUAAAUAAAUAAAGUGGGUAGCAUGCUAUUUUUCUCUUAAAAAAAAAAAAAAAGUGAAGUUUUUCUAUUCAUUAUCUCAAUAUAGCGGAAAAAAUCAUUCUACUCAUAAAAUGGAUAUAUGAUAUAUACCUCAAAAGAAAUGUACGGUUAAACUAUAUAUGGUCAUAUUUUUAAUUUUAAUUUGUUAUUUUAGUCAAGUUUUGCCACUAAAAAUAUUAUUGACUUUAAUGAAAAUUAUUUCGUCAGUAUAUUUGCUGUAUUAUUGGCCCAAUCAUUACCAAAUCUUAGUAUACAGAUAGUUUUUAUUAUAUUUAACAAAAAAUUGAGCAAUAAAAUUUAAUUUAAAUACAUAGUAAACUUAAAAUUUUAAUUAUAUAGGAUAAAAAGUUGCCGGCUAGUGGUGCGAUUAACUGUAGCUUGCUGCCGCAUUUUGUUGGCAUAAAAGCAUCAUGUGGAGGACCCACGUCCAAAAUUUUAUUAAAGAAAUUUAAAUCAGAAAAGAGUUAAUUAGAUAUAUAUGCUUUAUGAAACAUAAAGAUUAGCAUUAAAAAAAUAGUGCGCAGUUUUUUUAUAAAUCGAAUAUCAUUUGUUUCUAUAUUGCAAACUUGUUGUAUUGUUUGUCAUUUAAACAUCAAUCACUCCUCAUUUGAGUUAAACAACUCAGGCGUGAUCAACUGUCCUUAGAGCAAGUGGCAAAAAAUUUAAUGGUUGGUAUCCGAGACCCAAGUUCGAAUCUUAGUUGAUUCAUAUUUUCAGCUAAAUUUAUUUCUAAAUUAAAUAAACAAAACGAAUAACGUACUACCUAUCUUUCAAAAAAAAAAAAAAAAAAAAACAACUCAGGCAUGGACAUGUUUGACUUUUCAGAUACAUGAUGAUUUGAAGAUAACGAUUUCUUUUUGGUCCCGUACUCAGAAAAAAUAAAAAAAAAAAAAAAAAAAAAAAGGAAAAAAGAAAUUCCUUGUCCUACGUUGCUAACAUCAUUCGAUGUCAAACCUCGUUCCAAUGUUCGUCAUGCGGCACGCGGUUUUGUUAAUUAGAUCUCUUACGUGGCAGCUAAGGCAGAUUUGCAAAUUUUAACCAUUAUUUUUUUUUUGUCUAUUUUUUUAAAGAGAAUAAAAAUAACAUAUUAUUCAUUUCGUUUAUUUUUUAAAAAAUAAAUUUUAGUUAAAAAUAUAAAACAAUUAGACUUUAAACUUUGAACCCGAUCAAUACCAACAACUAAACUCUUUGCCAUUUGUGCUAAGGACGCUUGGUUUUUUUUUUUUUUUUCUACUAGUUGAAUAUUAAAGCAUUAAUGAAUCGAAGAGUCCGACUAAUUUGGUACUUUCGGAAGUACCAUUCAUGUGGUGCUUUGAAUUUUUUAACCCUGAAAUUAAUAUUUUGAUUAUUUCUAGUUCUUUGGUUAAUACUAUAAUUUUGAAAAAACUAUAUACUAAUCUCUAGAAAGGAAACACUAUCAUCUCAACUCUAUAAUUUUUAAUAUAAUAAUUAAAAAAUCGAAAGUAUCAAUUUAUUUAUUUUUUCAAAAAUAUAAUAACUCUACACUUGAAUUCAAUGUACUUAGGUAUCUAUAUUCUAUUGUAAUCUUUGUGAGUCUGAGGACCAGGCCGGCUAUUUUUUAUUUUGUCAAAAAGUUUCUUAACCAUCCAUUUUUUUUUAUUUGAGGGUAUUUAGGACAUUUCACUCAUCCACCCAUCCUAACACCACAUCAUUUAUUUUUCUUACCCUCUAAUCAUUUCAUUCAUUUAUUAUUCCUACUACUUAGUCGCACAGACCUAAAUUUUAAAAUAUCUUCCUACUAUAUAGUUGGUUUUUAAAACUUUCAAAAUUAAUAUUUUUAUAGCUAAAUUUUUAAAUUUCUUACUUACGUAGUUAGCUUCUCAUCAAUGUUUGGCGCAUCUUCAAAUUUCCUCCUUGUUAAGCAAUAAUAAUAUGCUUUAUCUCGGAAUAAAUCGAAAAUAAUCAAUAAAUUGAAGCAUGAAUCAGAAAAAUAUGAAGUUAGAACUGCACCUCAUAAUACACCUCCGUCGAUAUCGUACAUCACCUUCUUCUGUUUCCUACUGUUUCUCUCCCUACAAUUAUUAACUUCCGUUAUAUAUGUUAAAUAUAAAAAUGUUUAAACACCGUUCUCUAACCGUUUAAGCUUUUAGAGUACAACGGUUGUUUCACAUGGUAUCAGAGCAGGAGGUCCUGAGUUCGAGUCACGUCAGACUUCUAGCAUAUUAAUUUCCUCUCAUUUAAUUCAAGUCCACGUUAUGGGCCGAUUAAAAAGUCUCGAGCCCAGACGUGAGGGGGAGUAUUAAAUAUAAAAAUGUUUAAACACCGUUCUCUAACAGUUUAAGUUUUUAGAGUACAACGGUUGUUUCACAAUAUCCCCAAACAGGCAAUAUGUGGAAAGAUGUUUGAUUUCGAUUUUAUUUUUAUCCAAUCAAUGACAAGCAGUGACAAAAGGAAAAUUGAUUUCGUCUUAACUCAGCUCAGCAUAUAAGUCAUACAAAUUCAGAUUGAGAAAUAAAAUCAAAACCUAUAUAGUACAAUUAGCUUGGAAAAUUGAACAUAGCCUAUAGAACAAUUUCUUGUGCAUUAAAUGUAAAUGAUAUGGAACCGCAAUUGCAAGCUCACAUAAAUUAUUUUUUCACCUAGGUCCUGAUAAAACUGAUGCAGAAGGAACAAACAAAGAGUGUAGACGAUCAUCUCCGCUAGACGUUACUGUACUAGUAGCUACAAAAUCGUAUUUAAGACUAGUUUCCACACCGGUCGCUCCUUCCAGAACCUUCACUACUGUAGACAUUGGAGGCCUUCUACUACUAUCGAUCUGCAGGCACCACAUCGCAAGUUUCAUCAUUUCGAUAACUUCAUCUUCAGGCCACUUUAUAUCUUCGUUGGAACAAUCGACUAUAUCUAACAACCGACCGGCUUUAGCUUUCUCUUGCAACAAGCUAAUUAGAUGUAUACUCUCUUCAGGCUGAGAGUAAUCCAAGUUCUUUCUCCCACACAAAAUCUCCAUUACAACAAUACCAAAGCUAUAGAUGUCGACCUUUUCUGUGAUCUUCGAAGUCAACCAUUCCGGUGCUAAGUACCCGGGUGUGCCUCUCAUUCGAGUCAUUACCUGGCUUUGAUCUCUGUCGAUUAGCUUCGCUAAUCCAAAAUCAGAUACUUUAGCAUUGAGAUUUUCGUUCAAGAGGAUAUUUUGCGGCUUGAUGUCUAAGUGAGCAAUCUUUUGCCUACACUCUUCGUGGAGAUACGAAAGACCCCUUGCUAUGUCUAAGAUAAUUUUGCGCCGAGUAUGCCAAUCAAGAAGGGAGAUUCGAUCCGCAUUGAAGAUCCAUUUAUCAAGCGAGCCGUUGCACAUGAAUUCGUAAACAAGAAGCCUAUGCGUUUUCUCAGCACAAAAUCCAACCAUCUUUGCUAGGUUAAUGUGGUGAAUGCUACCAAUAGUCUCAACCUCGGCUAAAAAUUCUUUCUUCCCUUGGCCUAUCCCAUCCAAACGCUUCACGGCGAUCUUUUCGUCGCCAAUUUUCCCCUCGAAAACCGACCCAAAUCCCCCCUCUCCGAGCUUCCUAGAGAAGUUCUCAGUAGCCUCUUUCAAUUCCUUGUAUGAGAACCGCUUUGGCAUUCCCGGGACUCGAUCCAAAAGUUCCUCCUCGUCCCCUUCCUCUUUAUUGCAUCUCCUUAGCCCGAGCACAAUUGCAAUGAUAAUUAACACUAUGAAAACUCCAGGUAGCACGAUACCCAGCACAAUUCCUGUUUUAGACUGCUUCUUAGUAAAAUCCGGGCUUUUUGAAGGGGCAGAAGCAGGGGGUGAGGGGAUUCUCUGCACCUUAACGUAUGCAGAAGAACUGUAAUGACUUAUCGCCGGCUGAUUCGUCUGCAUCGAGAAAAUCUCCGACGGCAAGAAGCAGCUACCAUGAGAAGUAUUUCCCCCACCGAACUGAAAAAACGCGGCUUUGCACGAACAAUUCUUCAAACAAGCCGUCCUGCAACUCUCUUCGCUGACCAUACUCUGAAACGCGGCCGCAUCGGGGUCGACAUAAUUGAAGUAAGAGACGUUAGUGAGAGGCAACAAUUCAUGAUCAUAUGAAAAUUCACAAGAUAAAGGAGUCAACGGCUCGCAACCGAGAUUAGCUUCCCGGUCGUUGACUUGCCGGAAAUAGUCAGUCGAAGGGCAGCUGCAUUGUCCGCCAUCCGUGCAAAUGCCGUAAUCACCGCACACCGUCGGAUAAGCGCAGUUGUCGGGGUACACAUCGAGCACGUCCUGCACCGCCCUCCACCCAGCGAUGCUAUUAUCGUAGAGCCUCAAGUGCCCGUCAGAAUCGAACCUCAUGUACUGAGCCAGGUUCGCCGGGGGUAGCGAGAUCGACGUGUUGGGCACGCCUGGUUGUGUGAAGGGAACAAAGACCGACAGGCUACCGUUGGUGAAGGUGACGGACGCCGACUUGUUCACGGCUUUCGCUCCGGUGAUGCCGUACUCGUAGUAGAGCUGCGGGGGAUCGGAGUCGACGUAGGCGCGGAAACCGUCGCGGAAGACGGCGAGGUAGAGUCUGUUUUCGGUGAAAUUCGUGGCGGAGACGUUGGCAGUGAGGCGCAUCCCUUCGGAAAGUGACUGGCCGAUGACGAGCGUGUCGGUGGGGUGGUCGAAGGACUGCCAGACAGGGCCGUUGGCGCGAUCGAAGAGCAGCAAGUUUCCGGCUUCCGUGAGGUUAAGACCUGUAACGCGUUCGUUCGACGUGUUCGUGGACCAUACGAGGGAGUUGUCGACGUCGCGGAGAAUCAAGUCGCCGGCUUGGGUGAGCUGGAGCGUGGCGUUCUCGCGGACGGGGCGGGCGCGGUUGGCGGACCAGACGACCUGCGGGGCAGCAUUGGGGGGGUUGCUGAGGAAGCCGCCGCUGUCGGUGUCGACGAUGAAUACGGAGAAGAGGAAGGCGUCGCAAGGGGCGACGCAGAAGAAGCCGCAGGCGAAGGAUGGGCUGUAUCCGGAGGGUUCCAUGCGGAGAAGGAUGGUGCGGACGGAGGAGCCGUCGGCGUAGGUGAAGUAGUCGCGGAGGGCGGAGGGGUUGUUGGUCCACACGGUGGAGAGGUUGGCGGUCGGAUAGUCGUAGGGAUUGGCGUGUGCGCGGAGAAAGCUGAGGAGAAAGCAGGAGGCAAUCUCGAGGAGGAAGAGGCAACGGCGCCGGAGAAGCCACAUGGUGGUGGUGGUGGUGGUGGUGGAUUAGUGGGUGGGGUGGAAAAUUCAAGAUCCAUGAGCCGAUCUAUACAUUGCUUUAUUAGAAUAUUCACACUAGCUAGAAUGGUCAUUGCCUGCUCUCGGUGCAUUCACGCGCACAUAUCUGGUAUCAAUCUUCUGCUCUACACCAGCUACUUGUUUCAUCGUAUACUUUAGAAAAAAAAUUCAAUGAUUUUACACUUACUAACUUUAUUAUCUUGUGGUUUAAAAGUGUAUCAAUUUAGUACUCUGUGAUUUCAAUUUUAUUUUUUAUCAUCGAUUCUACUAAUUUUUUUUAUUAAAUCAGUGGCAGAGUUAAAACUAAAUGAUACUGAAGUAAAUAUUCGAUAAAUUUAGGUAGGUAUCUGAAGUUUUUUUGUAUAUAAUUUAAUAAAAUAUUAAUGAAAAAAUGAUGAAAAGAUAAAAAUAAAACUACAAAUACUAAUUUGAUAUACUUUAAAUUAUAGAAUAUUAAAAUAAGAAAAGCGUGACAUGAGUGAUAUUUGAAAAUUACCCUAUAUUUUAAUUUCAUCUAAAAUAUAAAGUAAGAUAAAUAAAAAAUAUGAAAUAAAUAAUGGACCCGAUGUAGGCAUAUAUGUCGUCGGUGGUGUGCUGGAUGNUAAUCCUAUCCUGUAGUUUUUUUUUUUGUGUGAAUUUUAGUAAUAACAAAAAUGAAAUUAAUAAGAUUAGUGAAAAAAAAAUAUGAGUCGGUCAAUAAGAGAGUUAUAGGAUUAGAAACAAAAAGUUGAUUAUAAAAGGAACUGUUUCGUUCCAUUUCUCUUACUUCUCACUGUCUUUUUUGGGAUCGCAAGCGGUGGGCGUAAAUGGUCCGGAGCAGAGAAAUUGUGACCGUACUUUUAGUAAAUUACACUUUUAGUUCUCAAAUUAUGAGAUACUGAUUAUUUUACUAGUAAAAUUUAAUUCAUUAUAAUUUUUAGCUUAAAUUUUUUAAAAUUAUACAGACCGUUCCUAACGUAAAUGACAAAAGAUUUGAUGGUUGAUACCCGGUGUUUAGUUUGAAUACUAAUUGAUUUAUAUUUCUAGCUAAGUUUAUUCUUAAAUGAAAUAAACGAAUCGGAUAGCAUCCUAUCUAUCUCUUAAAAAAAACAAUUCUGAAUUAUUAUAGUGAAGCAGUCUCACAGUUUAAAUUAAUUUAUUUACUAAAUAUCGAUACGUUUUAAGUCUGAUAGUGAUAUUGUAUCUUAAUUACUAUCAAUCAUCAACCAUAACACUAUUACAUACUUAAUUGGACCAUAAGUUUGAUUGCAUUAAAAUAAAAAAAUUUAAGUAAAAAAUAAUAAAUAAAUUAAAGUUUGAGCACUACCAUCUCACACGCUUUGAAAACCAAAAAUGUUGUCUAGUCAAAAAAACCAUUUGCACUGAUCUUGUUUGCUAGUUAUCCCUAGGGAUUGUGGGAUUGAUUGUUGGAUAUGCAGCCCAUAUUCAUCAACUAUCAAUUGGGAAGAUUACAAAAAAAUUUUCAUGGCAAAUUUCAUCACUUUUUCUCAAUAUUGAAUGAGAAAAAUUUUAAAAAUUUCAAAAUUUUUAAAACAUUUUAAGAUAUAAAAUUUCAAAUUAAGCCUAAAUCCUUAGACCCAAAUUUAAAUACAUAAGAAGGCUUAAUCCCCUGGGCUUAUAAAAAAAAAAAAAAAGAAGAUCAAUUCUGUUUCUUCCAUGCGGUUAAGUGAACUAUUUUACAACCACCAACUUUUAUUCAUUUUUUUUAUUGUGAUAUUUAUUUUUUUGAGAGAUAGGUAGCAAUAUACCCACUUCGUUUACUUCAUUUAGAAAUAAAUUUAGCUGAAAAUGUGAAUCAAUUAGGAUUUGAACUUGAGACUUUUAGAUACCAACUACCAAGUUCCUUACCGCUUGCGUUAGAAACGGUUAGUAAAAUAUGAUUUUUAGGAAUAAAUUACAGUUUUGGUCCUCCAAGUAGAUGGUACGUCAUAUUUAAUCUUCAAACCUUAAUUUACCAUACUUUUUUACCUCGAUUUUUUAUAUUGUUAUAAUCAAAUUCCACAAUAUAGUUUAACGUAUAAAUCAUACAAAAGCAAAUUGAGAAACUGGACACAUUAAUUGAAUCAAAACCUCUAUGGUACAAUUAGCUUGGAAAAUACUGCUUGGCCUAUAGAACAAUUUCUUGUGCAUUAAAUGUAAAUGCUAUGGAACCGCAAUUGCAGGCUCACAUAAAUUAUUUUAUUCACCUAGGUUCUGAUAAAACUGAUGCAGGAGGAACAAACAAAGAGCCUGGACGAUCGUCUCCGCUAGACAUUACUGUACUAGUAGCUACAAAAUCGUAUUCAAGACUAGUUUCCACACCGGUCGCUCCUUCCAGAACCUUCACUACUGUAGACAUCGGAGGCCUUCUACUACUAUCGAUCUGCAGGCACCACAUCGCGAGUUUCAUCAUUUCAAUCACUUCUUCUUCGGGCAACUUUAUAUCUUUGUUGGAACAAUCGACUAUAUCCAACAACCGACCGGCUUUAACUUUCUCUUGCAACAAGCUAAUUAGAUGAAUACUCUCUUCAGGCUGAGAAUAAUCCAAGUUCUUUCUCCCACACAAAAUCUCCAUUACGACGAUACCAAAGCUAUAGAUGUCGACCUUUUCUGUGAUCUUCGAAGUCAACCACUCCGGCGCUAGGUACCCCGGCGUGCCUCUCAUUCGAGUCAUUACCUGGCUUUGAUCUCUGUCGAUUAGCUUCGAUAAUCCAAAAUCGGAUACUUUAGCAUUGAGAUUUUGGUCCAAGAGGAUAUUUUGCGGCUUGAUGUCUAAGUGGGCAAUCUUUUGCCUGCACUCUUCGUGAAGAUACGAAAGACCCCUUGCUAUGUCUAAGAUGAUUUUGCGCCGAGUAUGCCAAUCAAGAAGGGAGAUUCGAUCCGCAUUGAAGAUCCAUUUAUCAAGCGAGCCGUUGCACAUGAAUUCGUAAACAAGAAGCCUAUGCGUUUUCUCAGCACAAAAUCCAACCAUCUUUGCUAGGUUAAUGUGGUGAAUGCUACCAAUAGUCUCAACCUCGGCUAAAAAUUCUUUCCUCCCUUGGCCUAUCCCAUCCAAACGCUUCACGGCGAUCUUUUCGUCGCCAAUUUUCCCCUCGAAAACCGACCCAAAUCCUCCCUCUCCGAGCUUCCUAGAGAAGUUCUCGGUAGCCUCUUUCAAUUCCUUGUAUGAAAACCGCCUUGGCAUUCCCGGGACUCGAUCCAAAAGUUCCUCCUCCUCCUCUUCCUCUUUGCUGCAUCUCCUUAGCCCAAGCACAAUUGCAAUGAUAAUUAACACUAUGAAAACUCCAGGUAGCACGAUACCCAGCACAAUUCCUGUUUUAGACUGCUUCUUAGUAAAAUCCGGGCUUUUCGAAGGGGCAGAAGCAGGGGGUGAGAGGACUCUCUGCACCUUAACGUAUGCAGAAGAACUGUAAUGACUUAUCGCCGGUUGAUUCGUCUGCAUCGAGAAGAUCUCCGACGGCAAGUAGCAGCUACCAUGAGUAGUAUUUCCCCCACCGAACUGAAAAAACGCGGCUUUGCACGAACAAUUCUUCAAACAAGCCGUCCUGCAACUCUCUUCGCUGACCAUACUCUGAAACGCGGCCGCAUCGGGGUCGACAUAAUUGAAGUAAGAGACGUUAGUGAGAGGCAACAAUUCAUGAUCAUAUGAAAAUUCACAAGAUAAAGGAGUCAACGGCUCGCAACCGAGAUUAGCUUCCCGGUCGUUGACUUGCUGGAAAUAGUCAGUCGAAGGGCAGCUGCAUUGUCCGCCGCCCGUGCAAAUGCCGUAAUCGCCGCACACCGUCGGAUAAGCGCAGUUGUCGGGGUACACAUCGAGCACGUCCUGCACCACCCUCCACCCGGCGAUGCUGUAGUCGUAGAGCCUCAGGUGCCCGUCGGACUCGAACCUCAUGUACUGAGCCAACUUCGCCGGGGGUAGCGAGAUCGACGCACUGGGCUCGCCUGGUUGUGUGAAGGGAACGAAGACGGACAGGCUACCGUUGGUGAAGGUGACGGACGCCGACUUGUUCACGGCUUUCGCUCCGGUGAUGCCGUACUCGUAGUAGAGCUGCGGGGGAUCGGAGUCGACGUAGGCGCGGAAACCGUCGCGGAAGACGGCGAGGUAGAGUCUACUCUGGGUGAAAUUUACGGCGGAGACGUUGGCGGUGAGGCGCAUCCCUUCGGCAAGCGACUGGCCGAUGACGAGCGUGUCGGUGGGGUGGUCGAAGGACUGCCAGACAGGCGCGUUGGCGCGAUCGAAGAGCAGCAAGUUUCCGGCCUCUGUGAGGUUGAGACCUGCCACGCGUUUGUUCGACGUGUUCGUGGACCACACGAGGGAGUCGUCGACGUCGCGGAGAAUCAAGUCGCCGGCUUGGGUGAGCUGGAGCGUGGCGUUCUCGCGGACGGGGCGGGCGCGGUUGGCGGACCAGACGACCUGUCGGUGCGAUGGAACGGGGACGUAGCCAUAGCCGUGGGCGGCGCUGUAGCCGAUGAAUACGGAGAAGAGGAAGGCGUCGCAAGCGGCGACGCAGAAGAAGCCGCAGGCGAAGGAGGGGCCGAAUCCGGCGGGGUUGAGGCGGAGAAGGAUGGCGCGGACGGAGGAGCCGUCGGCGAAGGUGACGUUGUGGUGGAGGACGGAGGGGUUGUUGGUCCACACGGUAGAGAGGUUGGCGGUCGGAUAGUCGUAGGGAUUGGCGUGCGCGCGGAGAAAGCUGAGGAGAAAGCAAGAGGCGAUCGCGAGGAGGGAGAGGCAGCGGCGCCGGAGAAGCCACAUGGUGGUGGUGGUGGUGGUGGUGGAUUAGUGGGUGGGGUGGAAAAUUCAAGAUCCAUGAGCCGAUCUAUACAUUGCUUUAUUAGAAUAUUCACACUAGCUAGAAUGGUCAUUGCCUGCUCUCGGUGCAUUCACGCGCACAUAUCUGGUAUCAAUCUUCUGCUCUACACCAGCUACUUGUUUCAUCGUAUACUUUAGAAAAAAAAUUCAAUGAUUUUACACUUACUAACUUUAUUAUCUUGUGGUUUAAAAGUGUAUCAAUUUAGUACUCUGUGAUUUCAAUUUUAUUUUUUAUCAUCGAUUCUACUAAUUUUUUUUAUUAAAUCAGUGGCAGAGUUAAAACUAAAUGAUACUGAAGUAAAUAUUCGAUAAAUUUAGGUAGGUAUCUGAAGUUUUUUUGUAUAUAAUUUAAUAAAAUAUUAAUGAAAAAAUGAUGAAAAGAUAAAAAUAAAACUACAAAUACUAAUUUGAUAUACUUUAAAUUAUAGAAUAUUAAAAUAAGAAAAGCGUGACAUGAGUGAUAUUUGAAAAUUACCCUAUAUUUUAAUUUCAUCUAAAAUAUAAAGUAAGAUAAAUAAAAAAUAUGAAAUAAAUAAUGGACCCGAUGUAGGCAUAUAUGUCGUCGGUGGUGUGCUGGAUGCAACCGACAAAUGGGUGGAAGCCGCCGAUUUGGAAAGUUGACGCAUCACGUAGCUUUUUAUUUACACCGGGUCUGCCGCGUCAACUGCGAGCCCAAUGAUUGAAAAAAAGUCGAAAAUGCACCAGUAAUAUUAAAAACGCGAAAUGCCCAACCAAUAAGGUUGCUCUCCUUGAGUUCGCCCUUCACAUUAUGAUUAAUAAAAAAAUAUAUUUUAUAUAUUUUUUAAAAAAAUAUAGAAUUAACUUAUUAUUGAUAACACGAAACAAGUGUAUACAGUAAACUUCCUCUCCAACGGUUUGAACAUGUGCCCGUAACAGCCUGUUAAAGCUGAAAGGUGCAUCCUGUAGACCGGGUCUAGCAACAGUUUGCUUCUGCAAUUGGCAAAAAGUAAUGACUGGUUGGUCGAUAAACCGCGUUGUUCUAGAUCUGGAUUCGGGAUUAGGUGUUUGACUAUGGGUCUUUUUAUUAUUAUUUUCUCGCCAAUAUAAAAAGAAAUUAGUUCGGAACUAGAGAUAUACUAAGUCGAUAAUUAAAAAAUUUAUGAAAUUACAAUUUUUAAUCAAAGGAUCAUAAUCCUAUCCUCCAGAUUGGUUUUUUUUUUUUUUGUGAAUUUUAGUAAUAACAAAAUAAAUCGUAAGAUUAGUAAAAACAUACAUAUAUAUAUAUAUAUAUAUAUAUAUAUAGGUCGUUAAAUAAGAGAGUUAAUAGGAUUAGAACAAACAGUGAUUAUAAAACUAGCAUUGCUCUUGUAACUGUUUCAUUCCUUUUCUUUUACUUAUCAUUGUGUUUUUAGGAUUGUGGUUGUUAGAGAGUCUUAGUAAAUUAUACUUUUGGUUCUCAGGUUAAAAGAUCAGAUGUAAAAUAAAGUUUUUAAAAAUUGAAUAGUCGAUUCAAAAUAAUCUAUAGUUUAUAUAAGUUAUGCAUUUUUUAUCUAAAUUGUUGUGCUGUUAUUGUUUG
Molecule: long non-coding RNA, 72399 nt
Filed under: Ananas comosus (pineapple)
Lineage: Eukaryota; Viridiplantae; Streptophyta; Magnoliopsida; Poales; Bromeliaceae
Description: long non-coding RNA (ACOM_LNC008174)
Source: RNAcentral